AGAGAGUGUGCAUGUGUGAAAGACACGAAAAAAAAAUACAAAGAAGCAAGUGAGAGCAAAGCAAGCUUUCAAAGUUCCAGAACAAUGGCAGCUAAUGGCGUGAAUUCUUCACCUCAGCCCCUUCUUCUAAUUUUUAAAGGGGUAAACUACCAUUUUUGGAGUCUUAAAAUGAAGAAUCUCUUCAAGUCUCAAGAAUUAUGGGAGUUAGUGGAAACUGGUUUUAUAGACCCGGAACCCGACGAACCCAGCUAGUAGUUAUGGGAGGCUCGCAAGAAGGACUCCAAGGCACUCUUCAUGAUCCAGCAAGCUCUCGAUGAUGAAGUAUUUCCCAGAAUGGCCGCAGAAACCACUUCUCAUGAGGCAUGGGAAAUUUUAAAGAAAAAGUAUCUGGGAGACGAGAAGGUAAUCUCUAUGAAAUUGCAAACCCUUCGUCGCGUCGUGAUUUUAAGACUUUAGUUAUAUGAGAGAAAGAAUCAGUGCAAGAGUUAUUGACUAGAGUGUCGGGAAUUGUUAAUCAUAUGAAGUCGGAUGGUGAAAAUUUGAGCACUGAAACUAUUAUGAGUAAGGUUUUGAGGAGUCUAACCAAAAGAUUUGAUCAUGUUGUGGCUGCAAUCGAAGAGUCAAAGGAUUUUUCUAACUAUUCCUUUGAUGAACUUAUGUGUUCUUUGCUAGCUCAUGAAGACAUGUUAAAUCAAUCAGUUGUAAAAACAGAGGAGAAGGCUUUUCUGGUGAAGGGGGAGUCUUCUUAUAAGGGAAAAUCAGAGGAUUCAAGAGGCAGAGGCAGAGGUAGAGGUGGUUUUCAUGGUCGAGGACAUGGUGGCAGAGGUAGAGGCAAUGCUGGUGAUUCCCGUCAACAAAAAAGUGCAAUUCAAUGCUGAUACUGUAAGAAAUAUGGCCAUAAAGAAGUUGAAUGUUGGGACAAGCAUAAAGAUGAGCAAAAGAAUGUCAACUUCGCAGAAAAAGUUGAGAAUCAAGAAAGUAACUUGUUCAUAACUCACUCUCCCAUUACUGAUGCUUCAAGCGAUGUUUGAUUUGUUGACAACGCAUGUUCGAAUCAUAUGUCUGGGUCAAGGUCAUUGUUCAAAGAUCUUGAUAGACACAGAAAAGCAACGUUCAGCUUGGGGAUGACAAACAAGUGAAAGUUUAGGAGAAAGAUACAAUUGCCAUUAAAACUAUACAAGGUCAUGUGAAACUUCUUUAUGAUGUGCAGUUUGUGCCUGGUUUAGCUCAUAAUUUGUUAAAUGUCGAGCAAUUGAUCAAUAUUGGAUAUUCAAUUAUGUUUAAUGGUGGUUCAUGUGUUAUUCAUGAUAAGAAAACUGAUCAGUCUAUAGUAAGUAUUCCUAUGACACAUAAUAGAAUGUUUCCCUUUGAUGUUUCAAAUGUUGUGAAGAAUGCCUUUGUGUCAAGGGGAGUACUGAAACUAAUUUGUGGCAUUUACGUUAUGGGCAUUUGAAUAUGAAUGGGUUGAGACUUUUGAGUAAAAAAGAAAUGGUUGUUGGCCUGCCGAAAAUCAAUGACCUUGUAUUUUGUGAAGGAUUUAUUUUAGGGAAGUAGAGUAAGAACUCAUUUCCUAUUGGAAAAUCUUGGAGAGCUUCAGAUUGUUUGGAACUUGUGCAUGCAAAUUUGUGUGGGCCAAUGUAAAAUGAGUCACUAAGUGGAAGUCGGUAUUUUUUAUUAUUCACCAAUGAUUAUAGUCGUAUGAGCUGGAUUUAUAUCUUGAAAUUCAAAUCUGAAACCUUUGAGAAUUUUAAGAAAUCUAAGGCAUUAGUGGAGAAGCAAAGUGGUAAGAGUGUAAAAGCACUUCGCACUAAUCGAGGUGGUGAAUUUUUAUCUCAAAAUUUUGAUGAAUUUUGUGAGGAGAAAGGUAUUCGCAGGGAGCUCACAGCACCAUACACACCAUAACAUAAUGGCGUUGCAGAGCGGAACAAUCGAACAGUUGUAGAAAUGGCCAGUAGCUUGUUAAAAGCAAAGGGGCUUUCAGAUCUGUUUUGGGGAAAAGCAGUUGCAACGGCAGUAUAUCUCUCCAACAAAAGUAGUUUUAAAUCAAUCACCUUAUGAAGCAUGGAUGGUUAAGAAGCAUCGAGUAAGCCGCUUAAAAGUCUUUUGUUGUAUAGCAUAUGCUUUGGUUAAUUUUUGUUCUAAGCUUGAUGAAAAAUCUGAGAAAUGUAUUUUUAUUGGCUAUAGUACUAAAUUCAGGCAUAUCGUCUAUAUAAUCCUAUAAAUGGCAAAGUGAUCAUCAGCAUGAAUGUUGUGUUAAUGAAAAAACUAGCUGGAAAUGGAAUGAUGACAAGGAAGGUACUGUAAUUCAAGCUCCUACAAAUGAAAAUUUUCAGCAAAUACAAGCACCAUCAUCUGAUGUAUCAUCAACUUCAAAUCCACAUUCUUUCUCCCUCCGUAAUAGCAGCAACAGUAGUCCUGCAAAUUCUUCAUCACAUGGCUCCUCUAGUGAAACAUCACCCAAGAAAUUCAUAACUUUAAGGGAAAUAUAUGAUUCCCGUGAUAUUCUUAAAGGCAAAAAUGGUAUAGGGCUCAAAUGGGUGUUUCAAACAAAGUACAAUGUUGAUGGAAGCAUUCAAAAGCACAAAGCACGGCUCAUGGCUAAGGGAUAUUCACAACAGCAAGGUAUAGAUUUUGAGGAAACCUUUUUUCAUGUCGCUCAUUUUGAGACGGUGAGAGUUGUUUUGGCUUUAGCUGCACAAUUUCAACUACCUAUAUAUCAAUUUGAUGUGAAAUCCGCCUUUUUGAAUAGAGCUUUAGAGGAGGAGGUUUUUGUGUCUCAGCUUUAAGGUUUUGUUAUUAAUGGUUGCGAGGACAAAGUGUACAGGUUGAGAAAAGCCCUUUAAGGAUUAAAGCAAGUUCCACGUGCAUGGUAUAGCAAAAUUGAUUCUUUCUUUCUAAGUAGCGGAUUCACAAGAAGUGAAAAUGAGCCCACUCUUUAUUUAAAGCGGCAAAGUAAUGGAGAUUUUCUAGUGAUCUGCCUUUAUGUAGAUGAUAUGAUCUAUAUGGGUUCCUCAAAGUCAUUAAUUGAUUAUUUUAAGCCUAGCAUGAUAAAAAAUUUUGAGAUGACAGAUUUAGGCUUAAUACAAUAUUAUUUGGGGCUUGAAGUGAAACAAGGUGAAGAUGGGAUUUUUGUAUGUCAAAAGAAAUAUGUUGCAAAUCUUUUAAAGAGGUUUAACAUGAGCAAUUGUGAAGUGGCAACCACAUCAAUGAACAUCAAUGAGAAGCUACAGCAUGAAGAUGGGACUGAAAAAGCAAAUCAAAGAUUGUUUAGAAGUUUGGUUGGUGGAUUAAAUUAUAUGACACACAUUAGGCCUGACAUUGUUUUUCGUGUUAGUGUUGUGUUUAGAUUUAUGCACAAUCCUACAAAGCAACACUUUGGUGUAGUAAAAAGAAUCCUUUGCUAUGUGGCUGGAACAUUUGAUUUUGGCAUCUGGUAUUCCAAAGUUUCAAAUUUCAAAUUGUUUGGAUUCACAGACAAUGACUAGGCUGGUUAUUUGGAUGAUCGAAAGAGCACUUCUGGCAAUAUUUUUAGCUUUGGUUCUGGAGCAGUAACCUAGAGUUCAAAGAAGCAGGAAACAUUAGCUUUGUCAUCAUCUGAAGCAGAGUAUGCAGCAGAAACUUUAGCAGCACGGCAAGCUUUAUAGCUUAGAAAACUCCUUGCUGAUUUUGGCUAUGUACAAGAGGAAGCUACUGACAUAUUUUGUGAUAACAGAUCUGCAAUUGCAAUGGCCAAAAACCUUGUUUUUCAUUGCAUAACCAAGCAUAUUGAUGUGCAACAUCACUUCAUUCGGCAGCUGUUGGCAAAUGGAAAAAUCAUGCUGAAAUUUUGUGGUACAGAUGAACAAGCAGGAGACAUAUUUACAAAGUCUCUUCCCCAAACUAAGCAAAAGUUUUUCAUAUUAUAGUUGGGAAUUUGCGAUUUUGAAUCAAUGGGGAGUGUUGAUUAACUGAUUCAAAAUUAAGUGGCAGUGUUAGAGAUUUACAUGGAUUAGUAGUUAGUGAGUUAUUUUGUUUGUUGCUAGAGUCAUGGGAUUAUGGGAUUAUGGUCUAGUAUUGUGUUCCUAUUUUUUAGCUAAAGUUGUUAGUUUUUUACUUGUAUUUAAGACUUGGUGUACUCUCUCUACGAAUAAUGCAACAGAUUUCAUAUUUCAAAAUUGUCUCUCAAUUAUUCUAUUUAGAAAAUUGUCUCUCUCUUCCUAACAAUACUUGCCCUUUCCCCGCACCACAGUUACAGUUAGCCUAAGUGACUAAACCUAUCUUCAAUUUUUUCAUUGAUGUCAAACUACUCACUCUCCGCAGGCAUUUUCAGACAAGUUUAUGCCCAUUUCACUAAUGGUACGUUUACUUCAUGGGAAUGGAAAUGGAGUGGAAUGGGAAUGAGGAAUGAGAAUGAGAUUUCAAUAUUUAUUUGGCAAAAAUAAAUGGGAAUGAGAAUGUGCUGGAAUGCCAUUGAUGUGUUUCCUUGGCAAAAUAAAUGGGAAUGAGGAAUGACAGUAAUAAUAAUAAUAAUGAUAAAUGUUAAUAAUGAUAAUAUUAAUAAAAAUAAUAAUAACAAUAAUUAAUAAUAACUAAAAUAAAAAAGUUAAUAAAAUUUAAUAAUAAUUAUAAUAACAACAAUAAGGAUAAUAUUGUUAAUAAUGAUAAAUUAUUUAUUUUUAUUAAUUAUUAUUUUUAUCAUUAUUUUUAUUAUUAAUAAUGAUAAUAUUAAUGAAAAUAAUAAUAAUAAUAAUAAUAAUAAUAAUAAUUAAUAAUAACUAAAAUAAUAAAGUUAAUAAAAUUUAAUAAUAAUAAUAAUUAUUAUUAUUAUUAAUGACAUUUAAAAUAAUAAAAUUAUUUGUGAUUUGAAUAAGGGUAAUUUAGGAAAUAUGAAAAAAAAUAGAAGGAUAGAAAAAGUAAAUUUAUGUUUCAUUCUCAUUCCCACAUUUUUCAUUCUCAACCCCCCAUGGGAAUUAGAUUCUCAUUCCUUAUUCCCAAAUUGUGUGGGACUCACACAUUUUAUUCUCAUUUCCAAAUUAUAUUUUGCCAAGUUAACAUAGGUUUCAUUCUCAUUCCUUCAUUCCCAUUCCUCAAACUCACAAGUAAACACAACAUAAAUGUUAACGACAUUAAAAAAAAAAAAAAAAUUCAUCAAUGUUGUCAUUGAUUUAAAUAUGAUUUCCAACCAUCCUUAAAUCAUCAAUGUUGUCAUUGAUUUAAAUAUGAUUUCCAACCAUCCUUUUGUAGCUUCUCUGCUUUGGCGAUCAAGACAUCAUCCCUCAUGUCUUCCGUAUGUUGUUGCAUUAUCGGGAACAUAAAACGCGUGCAAAAUUAAGCGAUCAUGGUUGAUGGUUGACUGCUGUUGGGAAGAUAUGCACCUGCAUUUUCCCAAACAGUUUCAGACCAAUUUUUAAUUGUGCAAACUGCAAGGAGAAUGGCAUCAGGAGGAUCAAUCCACCAAAAGUAUUUAUCGCCACGAACGGCAACAACCAGUCCUACUACAUGUGUGAUCACCUCAAAAUAGUCAUCUUGAGCAACAAACAGAACACUUUUAAAGGACAAUUGAUGAAAAUACGGAAUUAUUAAUGAAAAACACAGAGUCUAAAAAUUAAUUAACCUUGGCGCAUGCACGGACCAAUCGUGUUUCCUGAGCUUCUGCAGCAAAUCCAGAGACCAAGUUUGACAAGAGUGGCACCAAUCAUGAUCGAGUACAACCAUGCCAAUUGGAUUGUACUCAUCUUUGUGGGCUCUUCAUCUUUACCCAGCUCUUGUACUGCUUCAAUCAACACCUGAAACACUGCAAACAAAUGGAACUAGGCGUGUACAUAGCAAUCUCGCUGCAAUUAACUAUCACAAUCAACGAACAAUCAAGAAACAGAUUAAGCUUUGGUGAUCGCAUACCAAGUGUGGACAUUACAGCGGCAAAGAUGAUAAUGCCUACUGGCUGGACCCUCAGUUUGCCAAUGGGAUACUUGUAGAUGUUGACAUUUUUCACAGUCCAAUGAGUGCACCAAAGUAUGCCCCCAACUAGUAGAUCCAGUAGAGAGUCUAGUGUUGAUGCAGCAAUGGCGAUGGAUCCACUCAUAAUUGUAGCAUAAAUCUGCAUGCCAAGCCAGGUAUAGGUAAUACAAUAAACAGAAUUUGAAGCACCUUAGAGUGUUGGCAUAAUUGGAUAGCUUCAUGGCCCUUUCAUGCUGGCCUUGUUCCUCGAGAUCUUCCUCCGGACUGCAGUGAUCAGAUUCCACCAUUAAUGCAUCCACUUCCUCGAAGGCUUUCAAGGUCGUAAAUUAUGCCUCGUGAUAUUCCUUCUCCCCUGUAAUAUCAUUAAGAUGUAUCUGCAGCAUGUUAAACACAAUGAUCAAACUACUCACUCAUCAAGUAGCUGGUUGAUAAUGAUGAUCAAAACCGCUCAAACUAAAACAAGAAAUCAUACAAAGAUCAGCAAUAUUAAUGUAGUUAAGUUUCUUUACCAUAUCAAAUGUUUUCUUAAUUCUUUUUAACUAUGGCGAAAAAGGGCUUAAUUUUUUUAAAAAAUAAAAAUCUGUCUGACCAUUUCUAAAAGUUACGAAAUCCUGAGCAUUUUGUUUCUUCGCCUCAAUUUAAGACUGAUUAGUUAACAUUAUUUGUAAUUGCUGUAGGAACAUAGAAUAACAAACCAAACAACGUAAAAGUGAAGAAAUCAAGAAAGGAUGAGUAAAAAUUUCAGUUCAAUUUCAAAUUAAAAAAAAUUAUAAUACCGACAGUUUCUCAAAUCAGAGUGUCAAACCCCAUGUGGGCUCCAAACAGUGUAAAAAAAUAUACUUUUUAUUUUUCUUUUCAAUUUUUUUUUUUUUUUUGAACCCUUGGUGGGAUUUGAUUCAGCUAGACCAUUGUUGUGUUUAUAAAUAGAGAUGUCUCGUCCCGGCCCAAUGUCUAUGCGUCCUAUACUGUAAUGCCUACCUUAUCAAAAGUUGUUGCCGUAUGCUCUACUAAUUCGUCUUUCUUCCCCCUUCGGUAUUUUUUUUUUCUCCUCUCCUCUCUCUCUUCUUUAAUUUCAAUAGGCCAUAAAAAUGUGUCUCUUCAAACUCCAUAAACAUUAAAUAUUUAAGAUUUUUGGCAUCAUUAUUUCUCAUCUUUUUAUAUUCUCUAUAAUCUAAUAUAUUGGUUGAGAUUAAAAAAUAAUUACAUUUCUAUAUAUAUAUAUAAAAAGCUGGGACUUGAGGAGGUGAUGUGGUAUCACCAUUUCUCAUCAUCUCAUAUUCUCUAUUAUCUAAUAAAUUGGUUUAAAUUAAAAAAUAAUUAUAUUACAAACUAUUAAAAUAGAAGAUAAUUAUUAGAUUAUAAAUGAUUACAUGUCUUUUCCUCUUUCUAUUUAAAUUCAACAAUAUGUAACCAUUAAUAAUAAUUAAUUAUAAGUCUUGAAACAUUCAUUUAUUUUAUUAUGCCAACAAUUAAACUUUAGUGCCUUAAAAUACAUCAACUAAUUAACAUAGGAAGAGAGGUUCUUUCAUCUUCCCUCAACCUCAUCUUUUUAUAUUUAUUUUAAUGCCAUAAUCUUACAUUUAAUUAUGGGCCUAAAUUUAAUUUUAAUAAUUUUAAUGUCUCUUCCUCUUUCUAUUGAAAUCCAACAAUAUGUAACCAUGAGGCUCUAAUGGCAUUGUUGAGGGAAGAUGAAGGAACCUUCCUUCAUAUAUUAAUAUUAAUUAAUUGAUGUAUUUUAAGCCACUAAAAUUUAAUUGUUGGCAUAAUAAAAUAAAUGAAUGUUUCAAGACUUAUAAUUAAUUAUUAUUAAUGGUUACAUAUUGUUGAAUUUAAAUAGAAAGAGGAAAAGACAUGUAAUCAUUUAUAAUAUAAUAAUUAUCUUCUAUUUUAAUAUUUUGUAAUGUAAUUAUUUUUUAAUUUCAACCAAUUUAUUAGAUAAUAGAGAAUAUGAGAUGAUGAGAAAUGGUGAUGCCACAUCAACUCCUCAAGUCCCAACUUUAUAUAUAUAUAUAGAUAGAUAUAGAUAGAUAGAUAUCCAAUAUGAGAAAGGAAGUCUCAAGUUAUGGAUGAAUAUUUUUACAAAUGGUUAAAAUAGCACCAGUAAUAAUAAGAACCAAAAAAGAAAAAAACAACAACAACAACAUUUCACUAAAUGAUAGUACAAAUUGAAUUCAAUUUGAUUAAUGACUUAAUAUUAGUUUAUAAUUGAAAAUAACAUAAAAUUGAUUAAUAAUAGAAAUUCAAUUCAAUUAAAAUGGAGCAAAAUCAACCCAACCUCAAACCAAAUUAAAAUGAUUUGGACUCAAUUGGGCAAUAAUUUUGGGUUCAUUUGGUUUAGAUCGACCUUAAACCCAACCCAUUGGGUUAAUUUUGGGCCGAAUUGGGUUAAUAUUUCGGCAGUGUUCAUUGGAAUGUUAGUUUUUCCUUUGAUGGCUAUUUAACCUCUCUCGACCUUUUAGAAGAGAAACGGUUGUUACAAACCCAGUUAGCAAAUUUGACUACCCUUAUGAAUGAUGCACACACACACACACACACACACAUAUAUAUAUAUAUAUAUAUAUAUAUAUAUAUAUAACUUAUUUCACCUUGUUGACAAUAUAGCAAACCUUUGUAUGUAAUACUAAGAUAAAAUAAAUAACAAAUUAGUGAAACUAUGUUAGCUCCUUUCUAUUUUAAUUCAAUUUUUUUUUUUUGAAGUAAGAUGAUAAUAAUGGGGUCACUAAUAUGUUUCUCCGGCAGAGUUUGAAAAGUGAGUGCAAAACAAUACUAUAGUGAGCUAACUUCAAAGAAACCUUCAAGAUCAUGACAUGAAUGCCUUUCUCCAUAACACAGCAUUAUUGAAGCAAACACUCAAAUAGGAUAGCUGCUAAUGAACUAAAAAAUUCGCAAUAAUGUCAGGUCACCAAAGUAACUAAGUUAAGCAUUUACCUGAAAUCUAAUAACUAACAAGAACUAAGAAUACAGUAAUGAAACGAUAACCCUUUGCACAGAAGUAACAUACCCAGCUUUUCUAAACACUAAACCAACUUUCAAUAGCUCAAUAACUCAAAUAGGUGCUGCACAUGUGGUUCUAAAAUGGCCUGUCUGAUUGCAUCGACUACAAUGCACAACUCGCUUCACACGUCCCCUGUCUUCAGCUCGAACGCGCUUCUUUCUUGGUCGACCAGGAGGCCGAAGUGAUUUGGGUGGGUGGAUAACAAUGUCAGCAGAUUUGCUGGCAUUUGGAUCUCCCUCAGACAACUCCUUCCAUAAACUUUUAUCAGGAAUUGGAUGAAUGGUCUGUGAAUAUGUCUUUCUGUAGGUUGCUACAGUGAAACAACUCUCAGUAAACCGAUGUACAUUCUGCCUACAAGAAAGAAGGGCGGCCACAGCAUGAGCACAAGGCAAGCCAUACAGCUGCCAUCCCCGACAAAGGCAGCAUCGGUUUCGAAUGUCCACAAUGUUCGUUCCUUCAUGAGAUAUGACUUCGAAUUCAGCUUCAUUAGCACGAAGCACCUGGUAAGUGCGCGCACGUUCGAGAGCCUCUGCAACACGCCUCUCAGCAGAAGGCACAAGUAUUGAUGUCCACUGCAUGCUGGUCUCUCGGCGUUCAUUGAACCAAGUCAUAAGCUGCCUCCUAAUGCAUUCCAUCAUUUGUAUAAUAGGAAGACCGGAGGCUUCUAAAAUCCAUGAGUUUAAAGAUUCAACUAUAUUAGCUGUCAAAUGACCAAAUCGUGUUCCUUCAAAAUAAGCUGUGGCCCACAACCGAGGGGGAAUUCGUCGGAUCCAGUAAGCAGCAUCUUGAGAGAUCUCCUCAAUCUCCAAGAUUUUUGCUUCAAAUUCAAUUACAGUCAAAGCAUGAGCAGCUUCCCACAAAAGGUUGACAAGAAUUGUGUUAUUGAACUCCUUCCGAAAGCUUUCACUUAAGUGACGCAUGCAAAACCCAUGAAAAGCUGUUGGAAAGUUUGCUUCCACUCCAUCAACAAUGCCCUUCUGCCUGUCUGACAAAAUUGUAAGCCUAGGCAUGUUUUCAGUAUUAAUCUCGAGCAGGUUAUGAAGUUCAGAAAGAAACCACAUCCAAUUAUCAUCAUUCUCCUCAUCAACGACACCAAAUGCCAAAGGAAACAGAGCGCCAUCCCCGUCAAAACCCGUAGCAAGAAGCAAAGUACCAAGGUAUUUGCUUUUCAAAAAUGUCCUAUCAAGCCCAAGGAGUGGCCGACAAGCAUUCAGAAAACCAUAUAUUGAUGCCUGGAAUGAUAUAAAGAGGCGCUGAAAGCAAUUAUCUGCAGGGUUUCCAUAGACAGAUGCAAUACUCCCUGGGUUUGUCCGUUUAACCUGUUCACAGUAUUGAGGAAGCAAGCGAUAACCUUCUUCAAAGGAGCCACGCAUAGCAGCCAUGAUGCGCUCCUUGCCUCGCCAGGCUUGCUUGUAAGAUAAGGUAAUACCAUGAACCCGGUGAAUCUCUUCCAAUAUCUCCUUUGGCUUAUAAUUAGGGUUCUCCCUGAGCCGUUGCUCCACAGAAUUUGCAACCCACUGAACUGACGCUUGCUGAUGGCCAAGAUGGGAAAUUCCUCCACAUGUAUGGCUCUCAUGAAUGGUCCUGAUUGUGAAGGUUGGAACACCCGGGAGCUUUGCUGCAUGAAUUCGCCAGGGGCAUCCCUCGGCUGCACACUUAGCAGUAAAACGAGUCUUGUCAGAUUUAAUGGUUUGCAUUUCAAAGUGAAGGGCGAUUGCUGUAUCCCUCAAUGCCCUGCGGCAGCUCUUAACGUCCGGGAACUCUUGCCCCACCGCCAGCUCAAAUGCAGAAUUUGGAGUAAUAGUACGAACCUGUAAUACAGGACUGCCGCUAACCACAAGCUGGGAAUGGUGGACAUCCAUAUCCUGGACGGGUUCUAUUGCCAAUUCUUGGUGCUGGUCCACCGCUAAGUCAAGAUUCUCAUCAAGUUCUUGGUUUUCUGAAACACCCAAUUCAUUGUUCUCUGAUAAAGCUAACUCGUGGUUCUGAGCAGGAAGAGGCAUCUCAUGAUCACCGUGUUCAGGUUUCCGUUCCAUAGCUAAUUCAUUCUCAUGUCCAUAGCCAUGACCAUCACCCCCUUCUUGAUCAUGGUUCUGUCCCAAAUCUAGAUCAUGGUCAUGAGGAUGUCCUAAACCCAGUUCAUGAUUUUGCUGUCCCAAAUCCAGAUGAUGCUCAUGGGUUUGUCCCAAUUCCAAAUCAUGGUUCUGGUUCAGACCCAUGUUAUGAUUAUGGCCUAGCACCAACUGUUGGUUCUGCCCCAUGCCCAAAUUGUGACGCUGCCCAAGAAUCAAAUCAUGGUUCGCCAUUGGAGAAAUCAAUUACAAUAGAUAACCAAUACCAACUCAGCCCUCAGAAACGAACUAUAAAUUAGCAAUGAUGGUCAAAGUAAAAGCUGAUUCAAUUCUAUCCACAUACGCCUGAAAAGUUAUUAGGAAUAAACAACUGUUAAAUCCAAAGCCAUACCAUUUAUUUCAAAUCAAUCUUCAACAAUCAAAACCAAACAUUUAAUAUUCUCCCAUUAAUCAAGCCAGACGACUCUGAAGACAAGAAAAAUCCAAACAGUACAUAAAUGUCAAACAUAACAAACCAAACUGACAAAUCCAGACUUCAAACUCUCAUUAUUAUUGUUAUUAUUCAUAACCUUCAAACCAUCAAGCAUCUGGAACAAACAAUCCAUAUGAAAUUACAAACUUAGUGAACUGAUUUCAGUAUCUUGCUAGCAACACUGCACUUGUUAACACAGACAAAAAGUAAUUUCCAACUCAACAUAGAAAUCCUAGCAAAUUGCCAAAGAUGCUAUGGACUAUAAAUUCGCCAAGUGAAAGCCACCAACAGAUUUAUUUCCAAAAAUUCUAACUACAUUAAUUAGAAUAAAGAACAAAAUAUAAUCAACAAGAUCAAGAGUUCCUCGCCAGUUCCUGAUUGCCAAAACAAAAGCGGUAAGCACAGCACAUACACAAGAAAUCCAAAUAAUAAUUCUCGAACCCAAGUGCUAAACUAAUCAGACAAGCAAAUUAUACCAAUAAGUCAAAACAAUCACAAAAUUCAACACAGAACCCAAACAAGCAAUUUUAACAAAAAUUAACAGCAACCCACCAAAAAGCUCACAAAAUCAAACAUCAUCAGACUAAGAACAAAGACGAGAAUUACCUGAACUCAUAGAAACCCUAAUUCGAGCCACCAAUCAAAGACCUUCAAGAACACACUCGAAAUAGACAAACAUGCAGAAAAACAAACAGGGUCUUUAUGAGAAGGGAAGGAAGCAAGUAUCCGAAACUAAAAGACGCCGAGGGAGUGAGAAAUUAAAGCUAGGGUUUUGAAAAUUGAGAGUGAAGAGGAAGAAAGGUAAGAUUUUUUGAAAGUGGGGAAAAGAGAGAAUUGGCGGGUAAAAUGAUUUAGGGAAGAAGAAAAAAAAAUUAAGAGAGUAAAGGGCAAUUGAAGGAAGGAAGGGCGAGAUUGGGAAUGGGGAAUUACAGGGGCAGAAGAGGGAGAGCGAUGAGGGAUAGAGAGGGGAAAUACAAGAAGAUGGCGUUUUUGUUUGCUUGAGAGAAAAAAAGGGUAUUUAUGUCAUAAUAUUGGUUUUGGGGUCUUUUCUGGGGUUUGCAUUUUGGAUUUACUGUUUUGGCCCUUUCUAAAUAAAUAUAGAAAAAUAUGAGGGACAGAUCAUGUUCAUGGGCCUGUUAUUAUUUUAGAGGAAACGAAAUUAUAGGGAAAAUCAACUUACAUAUAGAAGAAUAAAGAAUUGAGUAAUGGGUCUAACAAAAUUAGUUAUAAAAUUUUAAUAAAAGGUAAAAAAAAUUAAAACAUCAGAGUAAUUAUAAACAACUUAUUCUUUGUCAAGAUAUUUUUCAUAUUAUUAUUUAUUACUAAAAAUAAAUUUUACAUAUGAAUUUAUGGUAUAAAGGAUUGAAAAGUAAUGAUUUAAUGGGAAACGAUAAUCACGAUAUUACCAAUAGCGAAAUCUGAUUAAUUUUAAGAACAACCUUAGGAAAAUAAUCUAUUGACCAUUAGUGCUUGCUAAAUUUAUCAAGCAAAUUUGAAAAAGUGUUGGAAUUGGUGUCAUGAUGAGCUUGAUCGAGUCAACUUGAAACUAUUUAGAUAUUACUUUCGAUUAGGAUUUAUGGUAAGUAUAUUUGAAUUUAAAGAGUACAGUAAGGUUACGUUUGUUUUUUUAAUUUAAAAUCUGAAUAGGUUUGAAUUUAGUUGAAGUCUAAAUAGGUCUAAAUGAAAAUGUCUAAAUGACAUGUUUUUUUUUUUUUUCAACAUCUGAGGAGAAAAACUUAAAAGCUAAUAGUUUGAUAUAAAUAUCAUUUUAAAUGGUGUAUAUAUUUGUUCUUCACAAUUUAUAAUUUUCAUAGGUUGAUGAGUUUGGUAGCAUUAAAAAAAUACUAUCAUUGUUGAUCUUAAUUUAUUUUUUUAAUAAAAGAUGUAAUUAUAACUUCAAAUUUUAUUAUAAAGUCAACACUGUUAUUUUUUUUUUUAUUCAUCACAAUGGACAUAAUUUAAUUUGUUCAAUAUUUAAGCUUAGUUAAUGUUAUCAUGUGAAUAAAAAUUUAAAGCAAUUAAAAAAAAUAACUUCAAGAAUAAUACAAAAAUAUUAGGUUUAUACAUACUAUCGGAAAUACAUGAAUUGCUAAGGGUAUUUUUUAUAUUUGAAAUUAAAAUUUUCCAUUUAGAUUUAAGAUAAAAGUUGACUUUUUCUACUUUUUCUAUUUAAAUAAAAUUGCCUGACAAUAAGUGAUAAGUUAAAAAAAAACUAAUAUAAACAAAUGUCUGAAAAAAGUUAAAUUCAGAUUUCAUACUAAAAAAACAAACAGCACCUAAGUUUUUUAUUUAAUUUCUACAAUUCAACUAACUUCUAUAUAGAUACAUAUAUAAAUAUAACAAUAAUGUGUAGCAUUACUGUAAAUAUAAAUCCUAUGUAUAAGACGUUUCAAAAAAAAAAAAAAUAGAAAAUCUAUAAAGUAUGGGAUUGAUAAAAUGGGAGAAAGGGAUAGCGAACUCUUGUUUUGAAUUUAGAGAGUUUUUCAUUCUUGCAAUAAUCCUCUAAUUAUUAAUAACAAUGAUAUAAUCUCAUUGUAUUCGACCAUCAAAAAGUAUGAUUUUUUUUCUCCUUAUUGUAUUAUGUUGAUUGGUGCAUGAAAUAUAACGAGAAGUCUAAUAGCAGUUGAUGUUGAAAAUGGAAUUUGUCAAUAUGCGAUGGAAUGGGAAACAAAUAAAACCGUCAAUAUGUGUAUAUACAACAUUGUGAGAUUUAUUGAUAGAGACGUCAAAAUAUCUUAAGAGCACGAGGCCAAGAUGCACCCUUAUUGGAGUGGGGUAAAGUUGUGAUUUUGGGACAAUGUAGAAUUUGUCUAUCAGAAAAGCAUAUGCAACAAGAUAUGGUGUUUCUAGUAUUUGUUUCAAUGGGCUAAAAUCAAAUUACUUUCUUAAGAAUCAAAGAGCAAAAAAACUCGUAAAAAAAGGAGUGCAUAUGCCGUAAGGUGAGGACCAUAUCUUCUAACUAAUAACGCUUAUUAAUGGGUAUGGUUCAAGAAACUCAUAAAUUUAGAAAUUUAUCUAGACUAGUUAGAAAUUGUGGAAAAAAUUAUCUUUAUUUCACACUUUUGUUGGAAGAGAAAAGAGUUUUAUGGAUACUUAAAACAAGUGAUACUAGUAUUAUUUGAACAUACAAUCUUUAAUUGGGUCACAACUCACAAGCCCAAUAAUAAUAUGGACUUGUGCAAUUGUAUGAAUUUGAACUUAGAUUCUGUUUGAUUAAACUUACUGAAUAGAGUUAAUAAGGGUAAUUUUUUUUUUUUAAAAAAGUUAUUUUUACGUAGAGCUUUUAAUGAAAAGAUUAUUGGAUGUUUGGUUGUAAAUUAAAAAGGUUUCUUGAACCAUUUGGCUCUUAAGUUUUACAAUACCAAAAGUGCUUUUAAGGUACAUUUGACACACUAUAUUAAAAUUAUACAAUAUAGUUACGUUGUAUUAUGUCGUAUUGUAUUAGCAUUGUAUUAGAAUAAAUCUAUACAAAUUUUGAUGUUACACUACACAAUAUUAAUAUUUAAUAAUAUUAUGUUUAGUUCUACACUAUAUAGUAUUAUUUAUUAUUAUUAAUUUAAAUUAUAUUUUUUAAAAAUAAUAUUUAUUAGUACUUAGGAAAAUACUAAAUAUAGAAAUCUUAAAUGUUAAAAAUUUAACAUUAUUUUUUCAGUAUAAAUAUUAAAAAAUCAUAAUUCAUUAUAAAAAUCAAAGCUUAUGUCUUAAAUUUUUUGCAACCUAACAUUUAUUUUUUUUAUUUUCAAAAUAUAUAACUUGUGAAAUAAAGAUACAAAGAAACAAUUCAAUCAAAUGACCUUUAAAUGCCAGUGAAUUUAAGAUGACUUUACUGAAUUGAAGAAUGACGAUGAGAGAGGUAUUUUUUUGUUCUCGAAAAACAAUAUUGAAUCGCAAUUCAUUUGUUCACACAUAUAUAGGGAUGGCAACCAAACCCAGACCCAGCCCGAACCUGAAAAAUUCGGUCCGGGUUCAACCCGCACCGGAACAAUUUUUAUACAGAAUCCAGAUGAGUUUUUGAGAACCUGCAUACUUCCUGGUCUGGAUCCGGAUAUUAUUUAUUUUAAUAUCAAUUUUUUAGAAAUUAUUAAAUAUAAAUAGAAAAUUUUUUAAAAAAAAGAAACCCUAAUGCCGACUACUGACUGGCACUCUCAAUCUCUCACCCUUUCCUCUCUCAAUCUCUCACUCUCUCUUCAACUCUCCUGUAAUUUCUCUUCUUUAGAUCAGAUCCUUCACGGCGUGGCUGUCAUCACCUUCACGGUUUAGUGUUCGUUUCAUCACUCAUUAGCAUCACUCGUCUCAUCUCUCACUCUGUCACGACCAGCAAAAGUGGUUGAAAUCUACCUCAAUCGCGGUUGUGUUCUGUGUUCAUCAGCAUAUACUUAAGCUGCCGCUGUGAAUAUUUGUGAGUCUCGGCUUUUAAAAUUUUAUUUAUUAGAAUCUGCUGUACCGUACAUCCGCCUUGGCCGUACAGCAGAUUGUUGUUGUUAAUAGAAUAGAAAUGGUAUCUCUAAAAUAUUUAUAGCUUUUACGGUUAAACAUAGCAUAUAAAUUGGAAGAAGUUGCUGGAAUUAAUUAUGUCUUGACAUAAUUUUUGUAGAAUGAAAAUUUGAUAUGGAAAAUGAACAAAGAAUCGACUUGGAUGUCUCUGAAAAAAGUGAUGAAACUGUUUGUGUGAGAGUUAGGACAUAAUCAGAAAAUAAUGAUGAUACAACAGCUGUUGAAUUAGAACCAAAUUCAACAACAGCAGUUCAGGGGAGUAGUCAUGGCCGUGGCCGUGGCCAUAGGGGUAAUACUAAUCCUGUCACUUCACAAAAACGAGGUGGUGGUGGUAGAGUAGUCUCUGAUGCUUGGAAUCAUUUCAAAAAAGUUAAGUUGGGUGAGGAAGUUCAGGCGAUUUGCAAUUACUGUGGGUUAGUUAUGCAGGGACAUUAUUCGAGCGGUACUAAUCACUUAAUAAAUCAUGCUAAACGUUGUCCUAGAAAGUCAUUCAAGAAUGUACAACAAAUGCACCUAUCUUUUUCUUUUAAAGUUGAUGAAAACGCUUCACUUAGUAAUUUGAGUUCUAAAUCAAAAUGGGAUAUGGCUACAGUAAAUUUUUUUGUGGCUAGAAUGAUUAUACUACAUGAGCUCCCUUAGCAUUUGUUGAAUAUGUUGGGUUUUAUGACUUGUUGAAGCUACUCCAACCUUCUGUUGAGACUAUUAGUAGAAACAUCAUCAAAGCUGAAAUUUUGAAACUUUAUGAUGUUGAAAAGAAGAGGAUAAUGGGUAUUUUGAAAGCUUGUGAGAGUAGAAUGACAAUUACUACAGAUAUGUGGACUGCUAGUAACAAAAAAAGGAUGCAUGGUUAUUAAGGCACAUUACAUUGUAGCUCAUGGGUGUUGCGAAGUCUAUAAUGAGAUAAUAUUCUUGAAACUUUUUUUUGUUUAAGCAUAAAUUAAUGUCCAGUUUAAUAUUUUAAUUAUUUUUUCACAUUGUUAGGUUUAUAUAUGUGCCAGCUCCACAUAGUGCUGAGGUAAUGUGUAAUGAGUUAUAUGAUUGUUUUAUGGAUUGAAAUAUAGAUAGAAAGUUGUCUAUUUUAACUGUUGAUAAUUGUGCUGCAAAUGAUUCUAUGAUUGCAUUGCUGUUGGGGAAAUUUUCUACUAGUUCAAUGAUUAUGGGUGGCAAAUUCUUUCAUAUGUGUUGUUGUACUCAUGUAUUGAACUUGAUAGUCAGAGCUAGUUUAUCUGUGAUACAAAAGGGAAUUGAGAAAAUUAGAGAUAGUGUUCAUUAUUGGACAGCAACACCAGCUAGAGUUGAAAAUUUUGAGAAUGCAAAAAAACAAUUAGAUAUUAAGGAAACCAAAAACUUGGUAUUUGAUUGUAAAACUAGAUGGAACUCCACUGACUUGAUGCUUAGUACUGCAUUGUUGUAUAAAGAUGUAUUUGAUCGUUUAACGGAACGUGAGAGAAAUUAUACAUCUUUGCCUAGUGAGUCAGAAUGGAAUUUGUCAAAGCUUAUGUGUGAGUAUUUAAAAAGCUUUUAUAAGUUGACAGAACUUUUUUCGGGGACACGAUAUUCGACAUCUAAUUUAUUUUUUGCCAAGAUUUGUGAAAUUAGAUUGUCAAUGAAUGCAUGGUUACAAUCACCAAUUGAGGGGAUAAAAAAUAUGGCCACUAAGAUGAUUGCGAAGUAUGAAAAGUAUUGGGAUGUUAAUCAUGGAGUUCUUGCAGUGAGGACUAUGUUAGAUCAUAGGCGUAAAAUGUUAUUGAUUAACUUUUAUUUCCUAAAAUAUAUGGGGAAAAAGCUAAAUCCGAAAUUGAAAGAGUGCAUAAGUUAUUUGUUGAUUUAGUGCAUGAGUAUGAAGCAAAGCAUCUAUCAAAUUCAAGUGGGCGGGUUAAUGGUUCUGCCAAUUCUCAAGCUGCUACAGGAGGGGAUUCUAUUAUGUUGGACUUGGAUUUGGAUAAAAUGGCUGAUGAGUGGACAUUAUUUAGAAAUGAAAACACAUAGAAUACUCAUUCCAAAUCAGAAUUAGAGCUUUAUCUUGAGGAGAGUACUUUGCCUUCAACUAGUCAAUUUGACAUUUUGUCAUGGUGGAAGAAUAAUCAAGGCAAAUAUCCUAUACUUGCAAAUAUCGCAAGGGAUUUCUUGGCUAUUCCUGUAUCAAGUAUCAACAGUUGCUUCGGAGUCCACUUUUAGCACUGGAGGUAGACAUUUGAGCCCUCAUCACAGUAGACUUCACCCAUCCACAGUGGAGGCAUUGGUGUGCACUCAAAAUUGGUUUUGGCUUGAACAAAACCUAAAAGGUAUGAAAAUUUUAUUUAUUAGAAUCAAAUAAUUUGUUGUAUUAUUCUUAUUAUCAAUUUAUCACUAAUUGGUUGUCUUGUUCAUUAUGUUUAUGAUUUACACAUUUUUUUAGAUGGAAUUUCAGAGGAAGCAAUACUUUCUGCUGAGCAUUUGAUUGAUGAAAGUUGGAUGAGCAAGGAACAGUAAAAUAAAGUGGAUGAUUGUGAGUUUAGUCUUUAGCACUAGUGGCUUGAAAUUUGAACUUUAAAUUGUAGAAUUAUGUUAUGGAUUUGUAUUUGUGGAUGUUUAUUACUUUAAAACUUUGAAUUUUAUAUUAUAUAUUUGUGUUGUAUUUAUUUUAGAACCUGGAUAUGUUAUAUGUUUUGUAUUUGAAAUUUUGCUCAACUGAAGUAAAGAAUUCUGGCUUGUAUUCAUUUUUUUUUCCUUUUUUCAGCAACUUAAGUAAAGCAAUCCAGGUUCAAAACUCGGAAUCCGAAAACCCGAUUUUUUCUAGGUUGAACCCAAACCGGACCCAGAUUGAAAAAACUGGGUUCAAAUACGGGUCCGGUAAUGAGAAUCUGUGUCCGGGUCCAGAUCUGAAACGGCCAAAACCAGACCCAGACCUGGAAAUGGCCAUCUGUACAUAUAUACAUUCCCACAAGACUAAGUGCAUGUUUGGUAUGACUUAUUUAAUGGUCAUAAGUACUUAUUUAAUCCCAUAAGCUCUUAUAGUAAUUUUUUUUGUUGUUUGAUUAAUUUUCUAAUAGAGCUUUUGAAACUUAAAUAAGCUAUUUUGUCUUUAGCAAAAGCUCAAAUUUUAAGCUUUUGAGAGUAGAGGUCAAAAUUUUUUUUUUAAAUAUUAAAAUAUCUAAAAUAUCUUCUACUUUUUUAAUUAUUUUAUUUUAUUCUUUUCACAACAUUACUUUAAAAAAUUUGCCUAUUAAAGUAAUUUGAUAAAUUUUUAAUAAAAACUCGUAUUAACAACUAAACAACUAAUUUUGUUUUUGUAAAAACUCUAUUUAUAAAAGCUCUACUAAUAAAAACUCUACUUAAAUAAGUUAUACUUGAAAAAUUAUACCAAACGAAGCCUAAGUCUUGAUGCCAGUGAAGUAUUAAUGAAGCCGCACUGACUAACAACAAUUCCCAAGUCUAUUAGAAAACAACAGUCCCUUACUCUUUACACUUGAGAUGACUCCAACUUAUCCAAAACCAAUUUAGUCUACCCUCUGGACCAACUCAAGCCUUUUUAUAUACAACUCCAGCAUCUGCUGCUGCAGCGUCCUCCCGUUGUCCCUCAAUCUCAUUCAAUUUCUCACCAUCCAUCACCCUCAUCCCAACAUCAAGUGCCGCGAAUCCAUUUCCCAUUCCCAGCUUCAACAUCUCCUGUCUUAGUAACUCACUCAAUCGUUUCGAAUCCAUCUUGUUAUUUACUUUCUCUUUAGCUUUAGUUGGAGAAUCACUUCGUUUUGCUGCUCCUCUUUUUAUUACCUUGUUUAGGCAAAGUUGGCUUAUUAUCUUGUACAGGCAAACCCAAAACCAUAAAUGGAGGGGGGUUGAAUUUGUCCUUAUUCGACCGGGACCGGGACACCCACCCACUCCUCUUACUCAGAGUAGGGCUAGGUUUUUUCGUUUCUGGGCUUUCACUAACGAUUGGCUUGACGAUGAUAUCGGAGGCAUUGAGAGACGAAGCUGUGUUUUCCGAGUACUCAUCUUCUGGGUCUAAAAUUGAUUCACAAUCUGUCAAAUGUGAUUUGGGUUUGUGCUCUUUAGUGGAGUCGAUUUGUUCUGAUGCCUUUUUCCUCGCCAGAGAAUGCGGAGGAGGGUGGUUUGUGGCAGGCUUUCUCUGAGCCAUUGAGAGAAUAAAUCACCGAUACAAACGAGAAAGAUGGAAUGAGGGAAUCAAUUUGGAGGAGUUUAGUUUAUGCAUUUUUUUUUUUUGUUAUGGCAAUCUUGAAAGCGCUUCAACAUAGUAGGACCCUUAUUUUUUAGUUUUUUUUUUUGAAAAAAUUUACAAAAAUAACCAUAAAACUUUUGUUAUUUUCACAAUUAACCCUCUCAACUUUUUUCUAUCAACAGUAGCCAAACACACACUUUUCUUCCCAAAUUACCCUUCUUUACAAACCAAAAGCAACAUUCUUUCUCCCCUUUCGUCAAACCAAAGACAGCUUUCCACUCUUGAAUCAUCAACCAACGGUGACGACAAAAGGCAACGAUAAAAGUGAAAUCCGAUCAUAAUCUAUCCGGAUCCAACACUAAUCAGCAUCACAUAGUGGUAUAAGUUAUUUUCUGAACUUGCACGAGAGUUUUAGUGAACUGCGAGUCGUGAGUGAAUCUGGCGACAGAUUGCCUAUCGCACGAAGAGGCAGAUUCAUUGCAACUAUAUUAAUUUGCUAUGGCUAAAAUAAUUUUUUUUUUUUUAUAAUUUCAGGCUUAAUGGAUUCAGUUGUUCUUGAAUUGUGUUACAAUGGUUGGUGGGAGACAUUAGAGGAUGCCCGUAUGGAGUAUGUGAAUGGUAAAAAUAGAGAUUUUUUUGUUGGGAAAAAUUGUCUGUUUGAUCAGUUAUUGGCAAAAGUAUACGAGGUGUUACAAAUAAACCCUAAUGAAUAUAGUAUCACAAUGAAGACAACUUUGUGUUCUAGUAACACAUUAUAUCGUAUAUGUGCACUGCCCAUGGAUAUAUUUGAUGAUGAAAUUGUGAGGGUUGUGUUGCAUAUGGCAUCUAAUGUAGCCAAUUUUGGAUGCAUUCCUAUAUUCGUGACCACAUCACCUCGAGUUCCGAACGAAUGUAUUGAGCCACAUGUCGAUACAGAAACUUCGUUUAGAGCAAAUAUGUCUGGCCCCGAUAAUGAAGAAGAGGUGUUGACAAGGACAAUAUCGCUGCAACAAUAUUACUCUCCAAUCCACAACAAUUAUGACAACAUUGAUGAUAACGACAUUACGUUACAGGAUAUUGGAGCAACGAUAUUUCCAAUAACAACGUCGUUGGACCAAUGGUAUUCUCCGUAUCACAAUAAUGAUUUCCGGGACAAUGAUGAUCUUCAUGAUGAGACAGAGGGGGAUAAUGUUUAUACAGAACCUUCUAAUAGUAUGAUGGGCAUUCAUUUCAAUAAUGAUGGUGAUGAUGAAGGAGCCGGUCCUUCGAAUAUUCCGUCGUUUCAGCAUGAGGAUGAGUGUGAAGACAAUACUCCUAUGAAUAACAUAAGCAAUAGACCUAUUCCUCCUAUGGUUCGAUCGAGAAGGAGAAUUGACCCCCUCACAAGUCUUGCUCCAACUUUGCCUUCGAACAUGGUUGCUCCAAGUUUUGUUAGCAGUUGUGACUCAGAUGAUAUCAGUGUGGGUAAGCUAUUUGCUGAGAAGAAUGAGUUUAUAUUACAACUACGCAAGGUUAAACUCUAAUCUAAGCCCGAACAUUAAAUACGUAUUCCAUAGCCUAUGCACUGUAUUGUUAUAAAAGAGCGCAAUCUUUAAUGCGUCCAUAUCGUCCAUUUCCUCGAAUUUCAACUUCUUAAAUAAUGCAUCGAAUUCCUUAAGAUUGAUCUUGCGAUGCACACCACCAAAAUACGUAUUCCGUAGCCUAUGCACUGUAUUAUUAUUUCUUAGUUCGGUAUCAACACCAUAUGAAAGUCCAGUAACCAGGCACCAUUCUACAAUUGACAAGCGAAUCAAAUGCUCACCAAUUUGAAACUAUAACUGAUCCUCACGGCUAUCUUCUUCAUGGGCCACUUGCCUCAGUAAAAGAUUGUGCAAAAUUACCCUACUAAAUGGAAAACUUCGAAAUUUCAAGAAAUGCCCAAAUAUAUCCUUCUUGAACAGAUUCAACUGCCACUUUGUUAAUUUUUCCUUGAUGGCUUUUACGACCGAAGAUAAAUUACACAUGCUCGAAAUUCGACCCGGAAAGUGAUCGGCAUAACAAAAAUACAUCCUGCCUACUUUGAUAUCCGACGAUUCUGAUUUCGCUUAAUUCAGUUUUAGGAGAAUAUGUGGUGAUGAGGAUGAGUUGGAGACAGAGGACCUGCUGUACCGUACAUCCGCCUUGGCCGUACAGCAGGUAUCUGUAAUAUUUAUAACAUUAUUACAUUGCAUUUACAACAAAAAUAAAUAAAUUGACUUGACGGAAAAAAAAAUUAUAAACCCACUGUAAUUUGGUGCGACAUGCAAAUUAUGGCUAACCUAGGUUUUGUUGAAGGUUGUAGAUGGUAGAUCAGACGCCGAUGAGGGAUGGAGCUGCCACCGACGAGUGCUGAAGUUGCCGCCGACGAUGAGAGGUUCUUUGGUUUGGGAGAGAUGGGAGAAAGAGAGAUUGGUGGGGGAGAAAUGAGAGAGAGAUGUAUUUUGGUCUCAAAUGCUUUUUUAUGGCUAAUGUUGAUAGAAGUUUGUUUGGAGGGUUAAGAUGGAAAAAGUCAAAUUUUUUAUGGUUAUUGGUGUAAAUUUCCCUUUUUUUUCUCCUCGGAACAAUUACAAACCCGCAUAAAACCCGAAUCUCACACGGAUUUAGUUUAAAUCCACAACUUAGUGCGGGUUUUGAUUUAUAAUACCAAAUUUAUCCGCAACUCACAAAAUUAUCUGAGCAAAUUUUUACGCAUAGAUUUAGACAGAUUUAAGAGUUUACGGAUACCAUUAUCAUACCUAUUCGGAUUUUUCCACGUUAAAAGAUUGGUCAACCACAAUAAAAUACAAUAAGGCAUAUUUACCAAAUAUAAUGUAAUAAUAUUUUAAUACUAGUUUUAAUACCAUAUGAUAAGUAGUGUUAAAGUUAAAUUACCAAAAAGACAAAUACAUCUCGGUUCGUUUAAACGGUCAAAUCAUUCCGUCUCAUUUGCCACGUCAUCACCAUAACCAACCAUUUUAACUUCAAACGUAUAAUCAUUGGUCGGCACCGGGCAACAACUCAGUGCCAAGGUCCAUUUCACUGGUCGGUGACGCGAUUUUCGUCACCUCCUUCCAACAGCAUUUUUGUGAAAAAGUAAAAAAGCCAGCAAAAUUGAACACAGAAAAAAAAAAGAAGGAAAAAAAAAAAGAAAAGAAAAGAAAAGGAUAUCACAAAGUUUGGCCAAUUUUUUUUUUUUAAAUAGACCCCACCAUAUUAAAAAAAAUACUCUUUAGUGAAUUUCUUUGAUCGGAAGGGAAUAUUUUACUUUUUACAUCAAUAUUUUAAUUUUUGAAAUAUACUUUAUAUUGAUAUUACUAUUUAUAUUUGGCUAUUGUAAGUACAAUGGAUAUUUCGUUCUCAAUAAUUUAAUUGAAUAAUUUUUAAAUAAUUUUAUUUAAUUAAUUAUUUGACUUCGAUUAAAAAAAAGAGAUUAAAAAAAUUAAUUUAAGUAGUUGGAUUGUAAUUACCAACAUCGACGAUAAUUUCAUAAUAUCAAAAAUAAUUACAAAUAGUAAUCCAAACAUUUAGUUUUUAAUUUAUAUCCCCAAACAUGGGAUCUAUUGGACUUACACACUUUAAUUAUUAAUUAUUAACAUUUUCUAUUACAUAUUUAAGGGGGGGAAAUGACUUAUUUAUUUAAUUUGGAGGAAAAAAAAAAUAAAAAACACUUUGACAGUUCAUUCUGACUGGAACUGUGGCAGUUAUAGACAGGAGCAGAAGGGGAGGCUGCCUUCAAAAGUACUUAAUAGCUUUUGAUAUGCUUUUUGCCAUGUCAACUUUCGGUACGUGUCAUUUUCUCUUUUCUAUCAGCUCAGCAGCCGACCUUUUGGCUUUUGUCUGUCGGCUUCGUAUUUUCAAAUUCCAUUUCAAUUUUUGUUCCAAAUUCUGAAAACUACGUGCAAUCUCGUUGUUUCGUAAUAUAAUGAAUAAAAACAAUUUUUCUUGUUCUUUGUCUUUCACAAAUACUACAUGGGUUCUGUUUUUUGUCAUGAUCUAGAACGUGGGUAGCUUUGAUUUCAUGUUCUUGUCCUAAAUUUUCAGUCUUUGAACAGGUCAGUUUUUAUCUCUGUCUUUAUUUUCCUUCUUGAAUUUCAUUGAUUGACUUGUUGUUUGUCAAUUGGUAUACACGAUCAUUGAUGUGAAUUGGAGUGAAUUAUGAUCUUAUUAUUGAUUCUCUAUUAGAAUUGAGUUUGUUUAAAUUUCAUUUAUUGACUGAUCUUCUUUACUUUUUGUCAACUCCUACUUGUCAUUUUAAUGAGGUUUUGAGUUUGUUCUGAAUUCUAAUAUAUGCUGAUCUCGUAUGUACCAUGAGUGUUUUUUUUUUUAAAUCAUUUUGAUCUGAUUGUUAUUGGAUUAACUUCUUAUCUGUUAGCGUUGUGUUCACGUAAUGUAAUUAAGUUUAUAUUUUCCAAAUUAAAAUAUGGUUUGCAAGCUUCUAAUUUGGGAUGAAUGGGAGACAUCAAGCCAGUGGGAUAUUUAUAGGUGAGAAAUUGGUGCAUAUGUUUUUGAUUCGAGGCCUGCGCUAGAGUUUUUAUCGAUUUGGAACUUCCAUGGGAAAUUUGUCUAGGUCCAGUUUUGAUAUUUGUUUAAUUCUUUGGAUAAAGUGCUUUUGAUGAGGUUUUGUGGCUCUUCAUCAUAUUCGCUUUGUUCUAUGUAUGAGUCUUAAUACUUUGGCCAGAUUCCAAUAAUGAAUUAUAUACUGCAGCUGUUGGUGUUGGAUUGACUUGCUGUUUUCCUCCUUUUCUGUUUGUUUAGCUUUCAGUUGGGGGGAGGAGAUUUGGGCGGUUCCUUGAAUUGUUCCUGGUUCUAACUUUGUUCUGUUUGUUAAUUAUGAUUACAGAUUUGAUCACAUCUUGGAUAUUUGAUAUUGUUCUGGGAGGAUUGGAGUUCUGUGUGUUCCGAGCAACUAAUACAUCAUAUUUGAGGCUACUUAAGCAUUCAAGCGCAAUAGGGAAUGGCUGCCAGGGAAAAUUCAUCUGUGAAACCACAGAAAAUUUCCCAUGGUUUUGUCAGAGCUUUGGGAUCAGCUGCUCUUGAGUGGUUGCUGAUAUUUUUAUUGUUUAUUGAUGCCAUAUUCUCAUACCUAAUCACUAGAUUUGCCCAUUAUUGCGAGUUGCAAAGGCCGUGCCUGCUAUGCUCGAGACUUGACCAUGUUUUGGGCAAUGAAAAGUUAAAUCCUUACAGGGAUUUGAUCUGUGGCAAGCAUAGGUUGGAGAUUUCAUCCUUAGUUUUAUGUCAUGCUCACAAUAAACUUGUAGAUGUCCGUGGAAUGUGUCAGAAUUGUCUUUUCUCGUUUGCCACGGUUAACAGAUCAAUCACUGAAACAUACAGGUUAUUGGUGGGUAAGGUGGGGGAUGAUUCUAGCUUUGGAUCUGAUGAGGAUCCAUUGCAUGAAGGUCAUAAAAACAGUCAAUCUAGUAUAAGACAUUGUUCUUGUUGCAAUGAACCAUGGACUGCAAGAGGGAAUGUCCAAAAAAUGAUACAUAGCAAAUCAAGUGUGUCUGAGCCUGCUGAAGUCAAUGUUCAUUUGUCGGAUGCUGAUGAACAUAACCAGCAUUUCGAAAAGCGAAUUGAAAAACCAUCAGUGGUGCUAAGAGCUACUCAUCCGAAAAGUUAUGGGCAAGAUCCUCUGUCCCAUGUAGAGUACACAGAGCUGAAGGUUGCUUCCGACACUGAAUCUGAAGUCCUUUUGUCAGAUGAUGAUGCUGCAUGUGCUCAAAUACGUGAAAUUAAUUGUCCCAAGGAAGAUCUUGCAGCUCAAUAUGUGCAGCUAGAGCCUCAUGUAAUCAUCCCGUCUCACGAUUCAGCUCAAGAGAAUCUGAUAGAUCACGUUUCUGCUCCUGAGCCUUCACUUACAGCUUCUCAAGUAAAUUCAGACGUUGUUGAGCUCCAUAGUGGCAUAUCUGUAGCCUCUACUACUGCAGUUGGAGAUGUAUUGGAGGACCUAAAUUGGGAACAUGUUGACAUCAAGGCUGAUCCUUCUGCAGUUACUAAUCUUAUUUCCCUUGAUGAUGUUCCCCCAUCACCAAAGGCUGAGAAAGCUUCUAUUGAUAUAUCCCAUGAGAGCAAGCUUAUAUCUGUUGAUGACAUCUCCACAUCAUCGAGUGCAGGGACUAAUUAUGCAGACGUGUCGAAAGAAAACAUGCUUAUUCACCUUGAUAUCCCCCAAUCAUCAAAGUCCAGGGAAUCUCCCCUUGGUAUUUCUAAAGAGAGCAAGCUAAUUUCCUUUGAUGAGGUCUCUCUACCAUCUAAUGCUGUUGAAUCUUCUGUUAAUGUAUCGGAGCAAAACAAGCUUAUUUCCGUCCACAAUGCCUCUCCAUCAGCAAUUGCUGAGAGAGCUUCUAUUGAUGUAUCAAAUGACAGCAUGCGUAUUUCAGUUGAUGAUGUCUCACCAUCAUCAAAUUCAGGGAAUAUUUCUAUGGAUGUCUCAAAAGAGAAUCAGCUUAUUUACCAUGAUGUCCCUCCACAAUCAAAGUCCAUAGAAUCUUCGAUUGAUGUUUCCCAAGAGAGCAAGUUUAUUGCCAUUGAUGAGGUCUCUCUACCAUCAAACGCUGUUGAAUCUUCUGUUGAUGUGUCAGAGUGCAAGCUGGUAUCCCACAAUGAUGCCCCUCCAUCAUAUGGUGGGGAUAGUCAUCCUGAAGUUUCAAAAGAUAGCAGAUGUAAUUUCCUUGAUGAUGGCCUGCAAACAUCUGAUGCUAUGGAAUCUCCUUCGGAAGCACAGAAAGAGAGCUGUAAGUUCAAGCUUUUCACUUUUUUCUACUUUUUUUAUCUGACUUAUGGAAAUUGCAUAUUAAUUCCUUGUAGCAUCUAUAAUGAGUGUGAUACAUCUCCUCCCACCCUUAAAUUUCCCAUGGAAUAGGGCCUUGAAGUAUUUAUUCUACUCAUGCUAUGGAGUUUCCAAUUGAAUAUUCAUUGUUUGCCUGAACUGCUGUAGGCAUUUAUGACUAUCAAUUUUAACAAUUUUUCCUGUAUCAAAAUUUUCUUUUUCUAGGUGCUACAAGAAGUGUUGAACUUAAGGAGACAGAGCGUGAAGAAAUCCGUGAAGCUGGAAGUGUGCCGAGCACAUCAAAUGGAACAGCUACAGAAAGAAACCCUGUUUCAAGUGAUACUGCUGCACUGGCAUCCAAUUUAUUGGAUCUCAGUGAUGCGUAUAAGGUAGCUGUUGGCAGUAGAGGUAGACAGUUGUCUGGUGUGCUUGGUGAACAAUGGUUUGGGAGGGAUUCUUCCAGACUUAGUGAAGAUCUAAAGCUUUUGUUGUCACAACUAUCUGCUCGAGGAUUUGACCAAUUGCUAUCAGAUAUGAGUCCUAGAAUUCGUGCAAACAGUGAGGAAUUGAGGAGUUCUGAUACUUCUAGUUCUAAUGGAAUGAAAAUACUUCAAAAAAGGAUUUCACUUGAGAGAAAUGAGUCUGGUUUUGAAUCUCUAGAUGGAAGCACUGUCAGUGAAAUCGAAGGUGAAAGUGCGGUAGAUCGGUUGAAACGACAGAUCGAACAUGAUAAGAAAUUAUUGAAUGCUGUGUAUAAGGAAUUGGAGGAAGAAAGAAAUGCUUCCACGGAUGCUAUAAAUCAAGCAAUGGCCAUGAUUACUAGACUGCAGGAGGAGAAAGCAUCACUUCACAUGGAAGCCUUGCAGUCCCUCAGAAUGAUGGAAGAGCAAGCUGAGUAUGACAUGGAAACACUGCAAAAAACAAAUGACCUUCUAGCCGAGAAGGAGAAAGAGAUUCAAGAUCUAGAAGAGCAGCUUGAAUAUUAUAGAAAGAAGUACCCAAAUGACUCGAUGUUGGAAAGCAUUUUGGAGCUAAAUCCCGGCUUCAAAGAGAAAGAGAUUAGGAUGGAUCAUUCGGAAACUACAUGCGUUCAUGAAAGUGAAAAUUCUAAUAACAACUUGGUGAUCAAUAGUCCCAAAAAAGAUAUGUCAUCUGAGGACAUGAAAACAGUAUCUGUAAAAAAUUGGGUGUUAGAAUUUGAAGAUGAAAAGAAUUAUAUUUCAGAAAGUUUGAAGAAAUUGGAGAAGAAGCUUUAUAUGUUCUCAUACAAUGGGCUGUACUCGGCAGACUUGGCUAAUGGUGGAAAUUCUGGAAAUGCAGUAGAUGAUGUAAAUGACUCCAAAGAACUCAACUGUAAAGGAGAUUCUGAUGUGCAUUGCGGGACAGAAGGGAAUGACUCGUCGAUGCUGAAUAAAGCAUGUGAAUCAAAAGGGAGUCCGCAUGACCAGGGAUGCAGUUCCUCACUUGAAAAACCUCAGAUCAGUGGCAAGGACAUUAGUGAAAUGGAUUGUGGUGAGAAAAUCUCACCUGCGCUUUGUGAGGGAACAGAUUUGGUUUCUCUUGAAAAUGAGAUUUCUGAUCUGAACGAGAGGUUGGAAGCACUUGAGUCGGACCAGAACUUUCUUGAACUCACGAUUAACUCGCUUAAAAAAGGAGAGGAUGGUGUUCAAUUCGUCCAGGAGAUAGCUUAUCACUUGCGAGAAUUACGAAGGAUCGGGGUAAGAAGGAGCGAAGAAAAUGUUGUUUGAGGAUUAAUGCAUAUUCAACUCAAGGGUAAGAACUUCAAACUCCUCUUAUACACGCCUACGUAAUACACAUUAACAUAUCCCUUUCCGCAAGCUUUCUACUUCAACCUAAGUUCUUGUUUUUUAUUCAUCAGAUUGACGCAACACAUCGAUGAUCCAGAAAGAGGUCUCAAAUAUAACACGGCUCAAAUAAUGAAGACUGGCAAUCAAUUGUACAGAAUUCACAGCAUGUUUCUCCACAUACCAAGAAUACAAAAUAGAGCUUCAGUUUAUACAGUGUGCUUCUGUUUUUAUUUCUCCUUUUCAUUUUUUUCAUUUCAGAUUUUCUUUUCACUAGCUAAAUUAUUUUACAAGUAGAGUGCUAUCAAUUCAAAGAUUUGGUUUCUUUUUUUUUUUUUCCCCACAGCAUAUCUUUUCUUAAUUGCGAGAUUGGAUGAGUGAUUGCAUUUGCUUUGUACAAGUUUUUGUGUAAAGUUAGCAGUAUUUUGUACAUUAAAAGGGUUGAGAUUAGCUGUUCAACCUGAUGUUUUUUACAUUAGAACAAAUGAUAUAUUUUACAUGUAAAUCUGAUUUGCUCCUUUGAUUCCUUUUAGCUAUUGUUAAUUUACUUCUUGUAAUUAGCUUCAUGGCCAUAGACUUGUACUUAAAUGAUUAAAUUUAAUUACUAAAUGAAUAAUGUUAUAGCUAAACUCUUGGAUAAAUUAUUUUUUAUAAAUUAAUGUGUCAUUUUAUGAUUGAUUGGAUGGAAUAUAAAAUAAAAAAAAUCAUGUGGGUCAUGAGCAGUUUUUAUUCUUCAAAUGCUUCCACAUCAAUUUAUGCAAAAUAAUUGGUAAGCCUAUAACUAUAUUAUUUGCUUUGUUUCACUUGUUUCUGUUGUACUUUUACUUUAUUGUCGACUUAAUUAAAGGAAAGAUAAAGCAGUACAUCUGUAAAUUUGGGCUCCAUCCACCAAGCCCCCCUGGGCACCGAACCCCCUUUACUUGUCUUGUAAUGAAGGCACCGUUGGAUGAAAAGGAGGAAGAUCGUGGAAGUGGGAAAUUGCCAGGUGGCAGUUGACAAAAACCGGGAGUAUAAGUCAAUAGACAGGAACUGUUUAUGGUGCAAUAAUUUUAUUAAAUGGAACAACAAAUAUGUUGAUAUAGACAACAAUAAAGUAGUUAGCUGGAGCAAUUAUAUGUAGAAGCAAGUAGUUUGUCGGAGACAAUUUUAUGUACGUUAUAAACAAAUAUUUUGUUGGAAGAGGCAUAUAAGUGUGGUUACUGUAGCACAGAAAAUGAAAUGAGAUCAAUUGAUGUUAACUAAAUAAAAAAUGAAGCAUAAACGAAAGGAUAGGAAGUAGAUGUAGUUGAUUAGAUGUGUUGAGAAUACACUCGGAGCUGCAAAAUCCGGCAGGGCCACAGUAAAUGGAGCAAAAAAUAAUCUAGUAUGUGGAGGGAUGAAAUGGAUGAAUUGGCGAAUUGGUAGGAAGCAUCAAAAAAAUUGAGAGCCGCAGUUGGCUGACCAUUUGUGGCAUUAGUUCUACAAAUGGGCAAAUGGGGGAAGGAAGCUUGUGUAAGUGGCAUUAUUUGUAGUGUAUGGAAAUAAUGGGAAAACAAUGAAAAACAAUUACAACACAACAAGUAAUACUGAAAUAAAUAGAAAGGAGAGAAAAAAAAAUAGAAUGAAAAUAAAGUAUAACUGCAUAGAUAGUGAUUUUUUUUAAAAAAAAAAAAAAAAAGAGGGAACAAAUUGUAGAGUGGAGAGGAGGGAUAUAUAAUCAGAACAAUGGCGGAUUAGAUUGUGUGAAAUUUGCAUGAGUCUGAAGAAGUAUAAAUUGGAUUUGAAUAGAAUUUGAACUGAUCUGUGGCUAGGAUUUGAAUAUCAAGUGAAAAUACGAAAAAACAUGUAGCAAAUAAAGAUUGGCAUGGAAGCAAGAUAAUCAGUUCGAAAAGCAGGAGCUAUGGAAUUGACGAUAGCUAGAAAACCCAUGCAUGUCAGUGUUGUUACAUGGCUAUCACCAUAGGUCCACAACCGUGACUUGAAAUAACAAAUAUCUCGGAAAGUGGGUGAUUGCUUAAGACGUGAACGACCAAAUGCCCAUCAUCAUUUUAUUUAUUACCAUGAAACUGCACUUUAUAGCGCCAUAUAAAUACAUUCGAUAAUGCACAAAACAAAUACAUGUCCAUUACAUUGGCAGCCCCAAAAUUAAAAAAUAAUAAUAAUAAUAAUAUAUAAUGCUCAUUUCCAAUGAAAUCAAUAAAUCAUAUCUACAACGGACUAUAACCCAUAGACAUAAUGCAUCCGAUUCACUUCUUUCCAUUAUUUGUUGCAAUUUCACUUUCUGAUUUUCCACACAGAUUCAUUGAAAAAACUUAACAACUCUAAAGUUACUAUGGAACUUUCAAUCAUACAUUUGAUUAUCAUUACAUGUACUUACAAAGAUACAAAGCAAAUAAAUAAAUUAAUCCCUUGAUCAUUAUACAAGUGCAAAAAAUUGUGAUAUAAAUUUAGGAAAAUCAGUUGGGUGAAAAUUGAUAAUUAAGACGCGAUGUGCUUCUAAGAAGUUGAAGCUGAAUAUAUAGUCAGCAUAAAGAUAAAUAAACGGGACGCCAAACACCACCAAUACAAUGAAAUUACAGAGCAAAACAAUUAUUUUUUUCUCAUCAAUCCUGCUGCAUUAAAUGGGCCCAGUUGAACUGCUGGUAAUAAUCCCUAAAUCAAUUUGAAAUCGAUGCCCUCUACUCCACAAUUUUACCCUAAAUCUCACUUCCCAGUAGGUUUACUAACAAAAAUUCACUAUUCAACUCAUGCAUUUCAAUUUCAGCUUCCACUAACCUGAUAUUUUAUUGCCGUGAUCUCUUCUCCCUCUGUUUCGUUUGAUGCUACCAGAAGAAAAUUAAACUCAACACGAUCCACUUCAUAAAUCCAAGUGUAAAACAAAAUAUAAAUUAUGUAAAUAGAACGUAAGAAUUGUAAAUGAAAGGUAAAAUAAGUAAAUUAAUAUAGGAGUGGUAAAUUGAUAAAUAUAAAAUAAAACUUAUAAAUCAAUAUUAAGUGUAAAAUAAAAAAUAAAUUAAGUAAAUAAAACAUAAGACUUGUAAAUGAAAGGUAAAACAACUAAAUCAACAUCAGAGUGGUAAAUUGAUAUAUUAUUGGUAAAUAAAAUAAAAAUCUACAAAUAUAAUAUAAAACUUGUAAAUCAACAAUAAAUAUAAAAUAAAUGGAACAUAAGACUUGUAAAUAAAACUGCUGUACGGCCAAGGCGGAUGUACGGUACAGCAGUUUUUUCACUUUAUAAUUAAAAAUUUUAAAUUUUAAAUUAAAAUUAAAAUAAAAUUAUAAUUUAAAAUAAUUCACUUCCAAUAAUGAGAUUUUUAUUUUUAUUUCAUACUUUUCUUACAGUAUAAAUAAACAACCUACCCACACCCUAAUCGCAACAUGCUCACUUCUCAAUAUUUCCUAAUUCAAUUCUACCUUAUUUCAGUUUGAAUAAGCAACUGACUCGUACUCUUACUCUGCACCCUCUAUUCUAAGUUUCCCGUUAGUAGGAUUCCCAAAGACUAAAAGCUACGUUAGAGAGUUUUGUGAAAAAAAUAAUAAAUAAAUAAAACUUUGUACGAAUUACAGUACGAAAAAUAUCAGCGGUAGGAAUUGACAAACGCAGAGAAAGUAGCAGCCAAGCAAAAGAAGCGGCAGCGGCAGCAGCAGCAGCAGCGGCAAAGCAAACUAAAAUGCAAAAGCUUGACGGCGCAGUGUUUUCGAAAAACACAGAAUCUGUUUUCGCUGCUUCCACCAAUUUCAUCUUCAAUCCUUCUUCAUAUUCUUCGAAUAAGUCUAGGCUCCGAAAGCCACCCAGAUUAAACUUUUCUUCAAUGUAUAAAAAAACCAACAGCGGCAACAUUAACAAGUCUCAUCAGAAUCCCGUUUUAAUGGCUUGCCAUGCCUCACGCGAUUCUAACGAGACUUCCCCUGCCAGGUCCGUACUCUCUCUAUUCACCUGUUUGUUAAUUGUUGUUUGGAGAAUUCUUAAUUUGUUUUGCCACAAUGGAUGAUGAGUUAAGUGGGUAUUUGAUUUGUUUAUUUACUUGUUAUUUAACAUGGGAAUUCUGCAAAUUGAUUGUAAAUAUAGGAAGGAUGAUUCAUCUGUUCAUGGGUUAUCUGAAACGAUUGUUGGUGUUUUGGGGGGAGGGCAAUUGGGUCGUAUGUUAUGCCAAGCGGCUUCACAGCUGGCCAUUAAAGUUAUGGUUUUAGACCCACUUGAAAACUGCCCUGCGAGUGCUCUUUCAUAUCAUCACAUGGUUGGUAGUUUCGAUGACAGUGCUACGGUUCAGGAAUUCGCUAAGAGGUUUGAUUUUAUGGCCGAGCUAUUGUCUUUCUAGUGUUUGUGGCAAGAAAUUGUUUGCAUUGCUGAUUUCUUGCUUGGUAGUUAGAUGUGGAGUUUUGACAGUUGAGAUUGAACAUGUUGAUGUUGCCACAAUGGAGAAGCUUGAACAACAAGGAGUUGACUGUCAACCUAAAGCCUCUACUAUUCGGAUAAUCCAAGUAUGUCUUUCUUCAUUUAUCCAACAGUUUGGCUUCAUGAUAAUGUUUUGCUUCAAGCAUUCACAGAGUCCUCUUGUAUGGUUGACAGCUAUUUCUAUGAAUUUUCAACUAAUUUUACCCUAAAUUCUACUUCUUGCCAGUGUUUAUUCUUGCUUUUUUGAUGUUAAAGAUAACUCUGUUCUGAGCUUCAUCUGUGGAUUCUGUUUUACAGGAUAAGUAUCUUCAGAAGGUUCAUUUUUGUCGGCAUGGCAUUCCGCUUCCUGAGUUUAUGGAGGUUGGUUUUUAUUAAUAACACCUCCAUACUUCCUUUGGGCAUUUCUGAAUCUGAUUAUUAUCGAGAGAAAUUUAGUUUCAGAUUUUGAUUUAUUGUUCAUAAUAUGACUGCUUCAGGUAAAUGAUCUUGAAAGUGCCUGGAGAGCAGGUAAACAAUUUGGCUAUCCUCUUAUGGUUAAGAGCAAAAGGUUAGCCUAUGAUGGGCGUGGGAAUGCUGUUGCAAAGAGUGAAGAGGAGCUGUCUUCCGCCAUAACUGGUAAAUGCUCAUUUAAAGAUAACUGUCUGAAUUUGAUAUAGAUGGUUUCGUUACAAUUCAGUAGGCAUGUAAUAUUCUGCUUAUCUUUACUUGCACUUUUUACCUCAUCUUGAUAGCUGUUGUACCCAGGUAUUGGUAUCCAAAUGGUAUGCUGGUACAAAUAUACUGUAAUUUUCUUAUAAUAAAAUUUCUUUUUUCGUUGUUUUAAUAUCAUCUGCCCUACUUAGAAAAACACUACCAUAUGCUGAAGGUUGUGUAGCAAGGCAGUGUUAGGUAGCAAUUGUUUUGUCUAAAGAUAGUAUACCUUCAAUUAAUUUUCUAGUUUGUCUUUGCUUGUCCUGAGUUUCUGAAGUCUGUCUAAAGAUGCAUUGCUGUUGCUUUUAGUCUAGUCAGUCCAAUCCUGUCCAAGUUUUCAUUUCUUCUGCAUGUUAGCAAUCUUUUAUAUCUAUUUGUCUUAUUGUUGCUGUAUUACAUAAGUUUUUGUUUGGUUUGAUUUACAAAAUGUUGGUAACUUGUUUGUCUUGCGUAUGGUGUUACUUGGUUUCUAGCUUUGUGGUUUUGGUUUUGCAUAAAAUUUGGCAUCUGGUGGUAUAGGUGUAUAAUUUGAAAUAGUGGAUGGUUCUUUUUCUCAGUGAUUUUAAACGCUCAUUUUUCCUAUUUUUCAGCUCUUGGAGGAUUUGAUCGUGGUUUAUAUGUUGAGAAAUGGGCACCCUUUGUCAAGGUCAGUGUCUGACAUGCACACUUAAUUGUUGCUUCAGAUCUUUUUCAUCUUCAAUAAAUUUUCAACCCACAAUCCUUUACUUUGCGCCUUAAAUUAUUUGUUGGUUAAAAUGUAAAUAUUAUUUUUUACUGUCAUCUAUGUGACUAUAGUUACCUUAUAUAUGCAUAAGAAACUACUUCAAAAAAUUCAGAACAGGGUUUGACAGUCAUUUUCCUCCUGAAAUAGGAUUAUUUAAUCAUUUGCAAAAUUCACCAUAGUACUAGUGUUGGUGUCAAUCAUAUAAUGUUCCACUACUAGUAGAGCCACUUGUGUAAUUCAAGUUCAUUAGGUUUUUCUAUUAUAUUACUGUUAAGUUUUUAUAAGCGAACAUUGUUAAUUCAAAAGUUACUAGUAUUCGAGUUUGAUUUUAUUUUCAUUAUUGCUAAUUUUUUAAUUUUGUAUUUCAAUGUGACAUUUCCUUUAUACACUUUUUACUGUUAAAGUUAUCUCACAUGUUCAUAACAAGAAAAGAAGCUAUUUAAAAAAGCUCUUACUUGGUCUGUUUCUUUUUCUUUAUAUAGCUUGAACAAUAGAACAUGUGAUGAUGACAUAGAUUCCGUGGUUUUGUAAUUUUAAUGAUUACAGGAGCUGGCUGUCAUUGUGGUGAGAGGAAGAGACAAAUCUAUCUUGUGCUAUCCUGUUGUUGAAACAAUUCACAAGUAGGUUCUAAGUUCAACCUUCAUAUUAUUUGGUUAUAUCCAAUCUUUUGUCUUCAAUGAGUAAAUUACGAAAUGAAUUUGAUGACGCUUUUGAAUUGGGAUCCUAAUCUUGCAGAGAAAACAUAUGCCACAUAGUCAAGGCACCUGCUGCUGUGCCAUGGAAAAUCAGUGAACUUGCUACUGAUGUUGCUCACAAAGCUGUUAGUUCACUGGAAGGUGCCGGUAUAUUUGCAGUGGAAUUGUUUUGGACAAAUAAUGGGCAGGUAAUAAUUUUGUAUCUUUCAUCAUUUUUGCUUGACACAUUUAUUUCUUUAAGUGCUAUGUUAGCUUCCUGAAGUUAUUGAUUUUGACCAUUUUGUUUUUUCAUUUACAUGGAAACAGAUUUUGUUGAAUGAAGUAGCUCCUAGACCUCACAAUAGUGGUCAUCACACAAUUGAGUCUUGCUACACCUCGCAAUUUGAACAACAUAUGCGGGCUGUUGUAGGUCUUCCGCUUGGUGAUCCAUCAAUGAAAACUCCGGCAGCUAUCAUGUACAAUUUACUUGGUGAAGCUGAGGUGAUAUUUCGGUUUUGUUUUUACAAUUUUACCUCCAAAUCCUAUGCCUCCUCAAAAUCCAAUGCCUAAAUCUUUUGCUCUUUCGUGUCAUAUGGUUGGAUUGCUUUAUAAUUUCUCUUGGUGUGUGUUUGUGCAUGCAUGACUGUGUGCUUUAAUUUUAGUCUUGUGGUUACCACAUCAUUCUAGAAGAUAAAACAUUUAACUAAAUGUUGAUUGUCAUGGUAGGGAGAGCGUGGCUUCUACUUAGCUCAUCAAUUGAUUGGAAAGGCGUUGUCUAUCCCAGGGGCUACUGUUCAUUGGUAUGAUAAGCCAGGUCAGGUUUUGUUUACUUCUUCCCAGCCUCGUUUUUAAUGUCUCAUCUUGUCUCUCUAUCUCUUCCCCACACAUAAUUAACAAUUAACUGUGUUGUUAUAAUCAUCCCACAGAGAUGCGGCAACAGCGGAAGAUGGGCCAUAUAACUAUUGUUGGAUCUUCUAUGGGCCUGGUAGAAUCACAUUUAAAUUCGUUGCUUAAAGAAGACAGUUCCGAUUGCCAGUUUAAAAGUUAGUUGCCUCUGUGAUGGCUUGAUAUUUAUAACAAAUAUUCAUGUUGUUGGUGGACAUGUUUGAUUCAAGUUUUUCUGAUAUACUCUGGUUUUCUUCAACCGUCUUCAUGAUUUUUUUUUUUUUAAUCUUUUGGGUAAAUUGCAAGAAGAACAUGACUUUGUGAAGUAAAUUAAAUAAAGUAGGUGUAUGUUUCUCGGUUAUACUAUUAUUUUGAUUUUUUUGCUGAAACUAAUUUAUUUGCCUUCAAGUUUGUAAAUGGCAACAAGUUUUCCCCCAUUUUGGAAAUUUGAUUUCAAACUCCUUGUAGUUUUGAAUUCUUGUAGUUGAUCAGCAUUGGCAUUUAAGUAAUAUAUAAUUUCCUUACGAAGUUUCUUAGUUGAGUAGGUUUUUUAUUUCAAAUUAGGAAGUAGAUUUCCUUAUAUUUGAAUUCCUAUUUUAUUUUAGGGUUUUGGCUACUAUAGAUAGGGCCCUGUGUUUCAUUUUCAAGGAAGUCUUGAUGAUUAUUGGAAAAAAAAAAAUAUGUUUUUUUUUCCUCAGCUUUCUUGAAUUUCCUCCGCUUUCUUUAGGUUUCUCUGGGCUCCUCUAUCAGCUAUAUAUGUUAUCACUGGGGGAGAACCUGUCCUACAUCAGUACCAAUACAUUUGGACUGUAUCAUUACAUUUGUUUAAGAGGAUUGAUGAUGCAAUUUGCUUGGGUUUUGUGCUUACUGCCACUUGGAGCAUGAUGCAAAUUGCUUCCUAUUAUUUGCUUACAGCAGUCCUUCCACGCAUUGGGAUCAUCAUGGGCUCAGAUUCAGAUCUUCCUGUAAUGAAAGAUGCUGCAAAGAUCUUGACCAUGUUUAGUGUUCCUCAUGAGGUUUGUCUCAUGUGAUUUAAAAGUUAUAGUCUUGCACAUUCCGUUUCUACCUGACCUUUUGAAGUACAAAAAUUGUGUUUCCAGGUUAGAAUAGUAUCAGCCCAUCGAACUCCUGAUUUGAUGUUUUCUUAUGCCUCAUCUGCUCAUGAGCGAGGCAUUGAGAUCAUUAUUGCUGGUGCUGGUGGUGCUGCCCACCUACCAGGCAAGUUAUAAGUUAUGAAUUUGAUCCAUAUGCUGGCCUAGUGCACAAUUAUGUGGGGUCAUGAAACUUUUUCUUUAUUUUAGGUAUGGUUGCUGCGCGUACUCCCUUACCUGUCAUUGGUGUCCCUGUGCGUGCUUCAGCUUUGGAUGGACUUGAUUCACUAUUAUCAAUUGUGCAGGUAGACUUUUGUUUAACUAGUAAUAUUCACGUUUAAUGUCUGGGAUACUGAUAAUUUAGCCCAUUUUCUAGUCUGAGAGUAAGAUGUGCCCAUUUUCCUAGUCUGUUGCUUUUCUUAGAUUACUUAUUCUUCGUUUUCUCUUUCUUUCGACUGAUAAGGAGCUAUGUAUAUUGUAGUUCCUUUUCAGUGUGUUAAGAAGCAAUCUUCUGUAUGUUAUUACUCUUAUAACAUAUUUUUCUUCUUUAUAUGACAUACUUUCUAUUAUAGCAACAGGAAUAGAGCAAUUUUGUUGGGUUAAGGUUAUUUGGACAUAAUUUUCAUGAUAUCAAGAGAAUGCUGAAGUGAGGGCAUCACGUGAAUGCUUAUUUAAUCCGAUAGAUUAUGUGCAGUUGUUUCCGUUUUCAUGUCUAGUUAUAAAGCUGCACGGACGAAGUAUUACUUGCAUCGUUUUCCUCAAAAUGACAUUUAAUUUGCUAUUUUAAUCAUUUUUCCAUUUUCCCCUUCAACUUGUCUCUCUAAGAAGUUGCGUAACGAUUUUCUGUAUUGAUGACGCAGAUGCCGCGAGGUGUUCCAGUUGCAACAGUUGCAAUCAAUAAUGCAACAAAUGCAGGUCUGUUGGCUGUGAGGAUGUUAGGGCUUGGCGAUGCAGAUCUUCGGGCAAGGUUAGCUUCUCUCUAACUCCCUUUAUGUUUGUAAACAAUGCAAAUCUGAUUGCUUUUGCACAUGUCAUGUGCAGAAUGCAACAAUAUAUGGAAGACAUGAGAGAUGAUGUCUUGACCAAAGAAGAGAAGCUACAAAAAGAUGGUUGGGAAUCAUAUUUAAAUCAUUGAUGUGUUUCUGAGAUCAUUUUUUUUUUGUCUUGUUAACCCAUAACUGCAUAAUGUAAAAAAUUUUCAAGUCAUUUAACCCGUGUCAGCAACGUUAUUAACAUUUAGCAAGAUGGGCAUAAACUAGUCUGACAAAUGCUCGUGGAAACUUAGUUUGAUGUCGACGAGAAAAAUGAACAAAGAUUUAGGUUAGCUGGGGUGGGGUAAACCGGUAAAGUGCAAGGGUUGUAUGUGAUUCUUUUGGUAUAACAGCUGGUUCAUCACUAGUUCAAUUGAUGAUCUGAUACGAAUUUUGUCUGGAGUGUGUGUGCCUUAUUUCGUUGAUGAUUUGUAAUGACUUUCUUUGCAUUUGUGCCGCAAAAGUAUUGAGCCUCUGGUUUCUAUCAAUUCAAAAUCAUAGCAAUUGUAUCAUUUUUGCAGGGAUUGGAUUUUAUGCUCAUAUGCCCUUGUUGGGGUCUGAAAUCGGUAUAAAAUUAUACCAAUCAUGACCGUGUAUAUGUGCACAAUAAGCUAACUAUGGUCAUUGCUUCAUUGGUCAGAUUGUAUAAUUUGUGGUUUUCGUUCAAACUAUAGUUUAUAUGAUUGUAACAUCUGCAAGUGAAAGUUUUAUUUUGCGAAUUGGUGAAAAAGUAACUAAAUAAAUUAUCUAACCAUAUAAUAAAUUGUAGUUACAAAAUAAUAUCUAAGACAAUUAAUAUGCGACAAAACUCCAAAAUAAAUCCGUAAACAAAGAUUUAAAUAUGAGCGAUUUUUUCUGUGCAGAUAUACAACACUUGUUAAUUCUUGCUUCGGUUAACACCAGACAACUAAGCUCUAACUAGAUGCCCAGGUUGCUCAUUAGUCAUCUUUAAACCAACAAUUUGUGAAAUCCAGAAUCGAAACGACAAAUGAGCAAUUGCCACCUGUGAAAAAUAUCUCAUCACCCCAAUCUGUAACUGGGUCCCAUGUGUAAUCCUCAAGAGGACUAUUGUUGAGCUAUGUUACCACAAUUACACAAUUUAGGGAAACCCUUUGAAGUCGAAAAAUGUAAGCAUGAGGCUUCAGAUGUUGAAUUUGGGGAGCUCCAGCGGCAUGCCUGCUGAAAGAUGUAUUUAAUUUUUCGGUUAAUAUGCUAUAAAAUAAGCAUUAGCUAGUAUAUAUUAGCACAUAUAAUGUAGAUCUGUACUGGAGAAUGAUUAUAUAUGAUGUAAAUCGCUAAAUUAUUUUGUUUUUAAUUACACCAGAAAUUGCAAUAAGAAAUUUGAAAUUUGUGAAUCUCACCUUUCAAAUUUUUUUUUUUUUUUUUGGUAAAUCGUUGAUUCGAUAAUAUCAUCAGUUUUUGCUUUAUCUUCAUCUCCUCAUUCUCCUUUGAUCACUUUAACCCUGAUUUUUAUUUAAAAUAUCAUUUUGAGGAAAACAUAUAUGCAAAGUUUUGCUGUUUGAAAAAUGAUUUCUUAUGUUAAAUUUAAGAGUAAUGAUACAGCCACAAACUCUUGUACAAACUUAUUUUGUACAAACUGACGUGGCAUUAAUUCAUUGGUUGAAUGAAAAUAUAAAUUAAUAAAAACAAAUCAUGUGGGCCAAGUGAUAUUUAAUUCAACUAAUCUUAUCAUGCCACAUCAGUUUGUACAAAAUAAGUUUGUACAAGAGUUUGUGGCUAUAUCAUUACUCUAAAUUUAAUAGUCUCUAGCAUUGUUUAUAUGAAGAAAUGUAGUGGUUUUGAGGAAUUUAAAUAGUAUUUAUGAUAAGAAAUAUAUCUGAAUCCCAAAAAAUUCGGUGUAUAGUAUGAAUAUAAUACUGCAAUUAUGAGGGUGAACGAAGAGAUGUAUUCUUUUGUUACUGAGAGUUUUUACCAGAUUAAGCUUUCUUGAAUAAAAUUGUGGUUUAAUGAUUUAUAGUAUUAGGUAAGAUUAUAGAAGAAAAUAAAUCUUAGCCAUGUAUUGUUUUUAUUAAAAGGUUGGAUGACGGACAAAGCUCAUAUCAAUUUUGCUGAUGAAAACAAUACGUACAAAUUGAUCAUGUGCCUAUUAGUAAUUAAUUUUGCCCAUCGCUAUAUUUUUAACGUAAUUUUUUUAUUAAACUAUAGGUGUAAUGAAUAUAUAUUCAGGAAUUUGGGUUUAGAUAACCCUACCCAUUUUGUACAGUUAAAACUUUAAUUAAAUUCUAAAUUAAUAGGGGUAAAAGUAUGAGCAAUCUAAAUGAGGAGAUGUUAAUUUUCAAUAGAAUCAUCAAAGCCAACAAUAAAUUAACAAUGGGAAUAAGUUAUUAAAUAAAAAAAAAGUAGACAAACAAUUUUUUUUUUUCCAGUAGAGGGGUGGACCAAAUACAAAUAAACUUUUAAUUAAUCCCCUCAAAGAUUCAAAAUCAAAUGAUGACAUCUCGUAAAAAUUUUAAUAGUGUAUUUACUAAUCAAUAAUCAGAAUAGAUUAAAAUCGAAAUGAGAAAUAAGAAAUAAAUAAAAUAUUUAAUUUAAUUAUAAGAAUCAAAAUCAAAAUGAAUUAUUCUAUUACUAAUGUGCUUACUUUGUUUUAAAAUCAAAAUAAAUUAUUUUAAACUACUAAAAUCACCUUCAUUUAUUAUAUGAUAUAUGAUUACCAUUAGGAAAAUUAUUAAUAAUAAGGGUCACACAUGCACUAUUCAUAUGAGGAGAGUGUAUCUUACAUGCAUGUAAGAUAGAGAUUGCCUAAUAAUAAUAGUUGUUAUUAUUAUUAUUUUUCUCUUUUAUUUAUUAUUAUUAUUUUCUCUCCUUUUUCUCCUCUUCUUCUUCUCUUUUUUCUUUUUCUCUCUCUUCUGCAAAUUCUUUGUUACUUCUUCAUCGUCAACAUGUCAAUUUUAUCUUCUUCAUCAACAUCAUCAUCAUCAUCACAAUUACAUCAUCAAUAAUAAUAAUCAUCAUCAUCAAUCAUAAUUAUUAUUUUCAUAAAAAAUAAUCAUCAACAUCAUUGAUUGGUUCUUCAACGACGACAGAGAGGUUCACCUUGACGGCAGCGACGAAUCCGGCCGAUGAGAAGCGACGGAGAUCGGUCGCAAUCGACGACGGAGAUGACCGAUGAAAAGCUCCUUAACCGUCAAAUGUGCAGCCGAUCGUUUUUCUUUGUUCUAGGGAGGAGCUGGGUUAGUCGGCUGUUAGGGACUUCGUGUUUUUUUUUUUUUUUAAUUUAUAUUUUUUAAUUGCAAAGAGGCUAUUUUAAAAAUAUUGAACAUAUAACGGGGAUAGUUUUGUCAUCGGGGCAAUGGAGUUUUGGUUCCCAAUCACCUAUUUGAAGCAAAAUUUUAGGAACCAAAUCCAAAAAAAAAAAAAAAAAACUUAUUAAUUUAUUUUCAAUUUCAAUUUAACAAAUAAAUAACUUAUUAAUUUAACAAAUCCGAUUCUUAUUACUGCAUAGUAAAGAAUACACACAGUAUAUAUAAUUGAAACACUUGUUCAACUUUGUAAUAAGUAAUAUACUCAAAUACACAGUAUAUAUAUAAUUGCUCUGUAAAACAUAAAAGUAUUUCUCGCUUUGAUUUAUUAGAUCAUCAAAACUCCCGAUGGUAGAUUGAUGAGAAUCGCUUGUAGUGUCUAAAAAAUUAUCAUCAAUGAAAAUGGGAAUGGGAGGGCGUGGUGGGGUUGAUGAUCUAAGACUCUUUGCUCAUCACUGGUGGCCGUAAUAAUGGGGGCUUGGAGCACCUUCACUUCAACCCCCAGCAGCUCCUCGGCCUUUACCACUCAAUGAGCAAACCCUCUGGCGGCAGCAGCAUCUCCUGUGGUGGCUAUCAUUGUUGCUGAACCAUAAAUUUGUGCUGCCCCUGAGAAGCUGAAAUUGCAAGGAGAAGGCAGCAGCUCAAAAACCAGUAAUCUUUUAAAUGUAAGCAAGCAUAAUAAUUAUUCAUGAAACGUUGAAACACAAAGUCCUGCUAGAUUAAAAAAUUUAGAAGACUCGUGAUACAAUAAGAACUUAAAAGUGUAUAUACGAUUAUGCAUUAAAAGUGAAGUUGCAUGCUAUAUGAAGUUUUAAAAUAUGUCUCACUUUUUAAUGAUUUCUGGUAAAUCGCUAAUCCGAUCAUAUCAAAUAUCCUUCAUAAUCUUCAUCUUCCUCUUCGUCGUCGUCAUCGUCUUCUUUAGAUCUUUUUCCUCCUUCAACACCGUUAACCAUAUUUUUCGACUGCAAUGUCAUUUUGGAAGUAAUAUUUAUGAAGUUCAACAAGUUUCAAAUUUUGAUAUUGUUUGAAAUGUGAAUGAUAAGUACAACCUCUACCAUUAUUUAUAGAAAAAAUAUGCAAUGGCUUUGAGGAAAUAUAAUAAAGUUUACAAUUAAGAAAGGUGUAAUCCUAAAUCUUGAAAAAUCUGAUACUAAAUCUUAAAAUGUAAAUAUUUAAAUCCCGAAGAAUCCGAUGCAUAUUCUAACAGAUAGUGUUAUAAUUGUUGGAUUUACAUGGAGUCUAAUUAUAGUAUUAACGUUAGUACUCGGAUUCUCUUAUGGUCUAAACUUCUCUUGAGUAAAACUCACGUGGGAGAUUUGUGAUCCAUAAAUAAUUUUUUUUUAAAAAAAGAGAGAUAAUAGUUAAAUCAUAAUCGGAGGGCUUAGAUCUUUUUAUUUUUUAUUAUGGAGAGCUCAAAUCAAGAGAAAAUUCUAAAUUUUUAGGGGGGAAAAGCCACCCACACUCCCGAAGUUUGCUUAAAUGGUCACGCAAACCCCCAUAAUUUCAUAAAUGACAAAUAUACGCUUUGACUAUAACAAUCCAAAUAAAUAUAAAUAUAGUAAUAAGAUAAAAAUAAAUAAAUAUCAUAUGAUACAAGUAAACUAUUACAAUAAGUAUAAUUAAUAAAAUAACGUAUAUAAUGAAAACUAUUUUUAAUAUUAAGUUAUUAUUCAUCCAUCAUGUUGAAUUUUAUUAAUACUAGCUAAUAUCUAUUAAUCAAAAAAUUGACUUUAAGACUUAUACUAAUGUAGGCAUAAUUAAAAAAAUUUGUAAAUAAAAUAAAUUACUGUGAAUGUUUGGUAUAAUUAUUUUAAAAUUAUUAGUUUAUCAAAUAGAUUUUAUUAUUAAAAGAAUAUGACAUAUUAAUAAAGUUAAAUAACUUUCUAAAUGUUCAAAAUAAUUUAUAAUUUUUUUCUUAUUCUAUCAGCAGCAAAAUAAUUUAUAAUUUUUUUCUUAUUCUAUAUAUUAUAUUAUUUUUAUUUUUAUUUUUAUUUAUUAUAGAAGUUUAUAAAGUCAAUUAUUUGGUUGUUUGUAAUCAAGGAUAUAAUAGUUAAAAAAAAAAAAGGGUCUGUGAGACUAUUAAUGAAACUAAGGGGAUUUGUGUGACCAUUUAAACAAACUUUUAGGAUGUGGGUGGCCUUUUCCCAAUUUUUAAUACUAAGAUAUUCAUGUGGAUCCGCCUAUGUUGCAACAGUUAUAACAUUCCACACGUUUUGUCUUCAUUCUAAACUGUCGUUGAAUGUAAAUUAAAUGAAUCUAAAGGUUGAAAUUAAAUGGUUGAUAAAUGAGGAAUAAACCGGGAACCGUUGAUGCCGGUUGCACAAAAUUCAUCUGAUUAAACCAAUUAUGUCUUAUGUAUGAAAAAUAUAAAUUAGGGUUUGAUGAUCGUGGUUGAGAAUCAAUUUGGAGACACCUAAAUGGAACGAAAUUUGUCGCAAUUUCUUAGGGAAAAUUUUUCGAUUAUUUAUGUAUGUUGCAUGUUUGGGCUGGGGUUGUAAGGCAGAUCAAUUAAAUGAUGAAUUUGUUUGUGCAGUAGGUGUAAUUGAUUUCAUUUGACAAAUACUGUGGAGGCACCAAAAUCGGAAGAAGAUGAUCGCAAUAUUCUUCAGGUAGAAUAUUUGGAUUAUUCACCUAUGCUGCAACUCGGGCUAUAUUGGCCGAACGAAUUCGAUGGCAAUUUUGUUACUGUAGCUGGCGUAAGUGAUUUCAAAUUAAAAAAUAAUCUGGAGAUACUGAGAUUGAAAGAAGAUGAUCCCAAAUUGUUGGAAUUCGAUGGUUAGUACAUGAACAUCGGCUCUGAGGGGAAUGAUUCCGAUUGAGAAUUUGUUACUGUAGCCGACAACUGCAACCCAAACUGAGUGAGGUGCCUGUACUUUACCCGGCAAAGACUUUUUAAAACUUUCAUCUGUAGUUUCACAUCAAUCAAAUUACAAUUUGGUGCCCCGAUAAAAAAAAUAUUAAACUAUACAACAAACCCAGAUCAUAGAUUAUUAGUAAAGUUAUUAUUACAUAAAGGGAUCCGCCUAUGUUGCAACAGUUAUAACAUACCACACGUUUUGUCUUCAUUCUAAACUGUCGUUGGAUGUAAAUUAAAUGAAUGUAAAGGUUGAAAUUAAAUGGUUGAUAAAUGAGGAAUAAACCGGGAACCGUUGAUGCCGGUUGCACAAAAUUCAUCUGAUUAAACCAAUUAUGUCUUAUGUAUGAAAAAUAUAAAUUAGGGUUUGAUGAUCGUGGUUGAGAAUCAAUUUGGAGACACCUAAAUGGAACGAAAUUUGUCGCAAUUUCUUAGGGAAAAUUUUUCGAUUAUUUAUGUAUGUUGCAUGUUUGGGCUGGGGUUGUAAGGCAGAUCAAUUAAAUGAUGAAUUUGUUUGUGCAGUAGGUGUAAUUGAUUUCAUUUGACAAAUACUGUGGAGGCACCAAAAUCGGAAGAAGAUGAUCGCAAUAUUCUUCAGGUAGAAUAUUUGGAUUAUUCACCUAUGCUGCAACUCGGGCUAUAUUGGCCGAACGAAUUCGAUGGCAAUUUUGUUACUGUAGCUGGCGUAAGUGAUUUCAAAUUAAAAAAUAAUCUGGAGAUACUGAGAUUGAAAGAAGAUGAUCCCAAAUUGUUGGAAUUCGAUGGUUAGUACAUGAACAUCGGCUCUGAGGGGAAUGAUUCCGAUUGAGAAUUUGUUACUGUAGCCGACAACUGCAACCCAAACUGAGUGACGCAUAAAGUUUAGGAACUACUGAGCUAGUCAUAUCUGAAACCAGAGUGAAUAUUGCAUAUGCUUGGUAUGUUGUUGUGCCGUUCGAAGCAGCCGCGGUGGUUAAUUCCUAACAAAAAAUGGUUAAUGUUUUUGAAAGAGUAUGACGGUAGAAAUUAGCUUGGGAGGUUGGUCAUGUAUAUUUAUUGGAAUCAGGGAAGAUGAUAUUGUUAUCACAUGGAAUCAUUGUUUAAUUUGUUGGAAGAAGAGGUAUAUUGAAGUCAUGUAUCCUAAACUUGCACCACCACCCAACAUCUUUUCCAGUUGGUUGCCAGAGUCAUGUAUCCGCCUUCGAUCUUACCGACUGGAAUUUAUGGGAGACACUUAAAAUUGAAACUUGACGAUAGCUAUUUCUAUGGGAAAUUGAUCGCAAUUUCUGGGCGUUGAAAAUAUUUUGAUCAUCUAAAAUUCUGGGGUGUGAAAAAAUUUUCGACGACGGCCUCUCAAAACAAAGUCAAAACCAGUAUUAUUCCUGGACCCUUGUUCAACAUAUUUUUGUACACUUUCUUUAUUUAACAAUUUUUUUUAUAAUUUCUUUCAACAACCGGCCAUUGACCUUCACCUACUUUCUAAUUUCAACCGUUAGAUUCACUUAGUUUACAUCUAACGGUAUUUUAGAAUGAAGACAAAAAGUGUGGUAUGUUGCAACUGUUGCAACAUAGGUGGAUCCUAUUCAUGUUUAUAUCUUAUAGCAAAAUGUUUGAAUGAUAAAAAGCAGGAACUUAUAUCUUUAUACUCUUAUUAAGAAGAGCUGAGACUCUAAAUUUUAAUACAAAGACAUUCGUGUUUACAUCUUAUGGCAAAAUGUUUGAAUGAUAAAAAGCAACUUUUAAUUUUUAUAUGAAUAUAAAAACUGUCUAAAUGGAAAGUUUAAUAUUUUCUAUCGUUAUUAAUUACCCCGUAAAUUUGUUUAUUUCCAAUUACAGAAGAUAUAUCCCUCUAUAUUUUUACUGUUCUUUUUUUUUAAAAAAAAAAAUUAGCGUCCGUGUUUUAUUUAACAUUUUUUUUUUGGUCAAAAAAUGUAACAGAACAUAUAGAUUAGCUGGAGUGGGCAAUUGUUGUGUGUGAUUCUUUUGCUAGAAUGGAUGGGAAUGCAUUUGUUACCUCUAUUUUCUAAGAUUUUUUUUUCAUCAAUUCAAAAUCACCGCAAACGUAUUAUGUAUUGUUUAUGGUUGCAGGACUUUGUUUUUAUGCUAUGACUUGUUGGAGUUGUUUAUUUCUAUUAUGAAGUUAGGUAGGAUUUGUUUUUUUUAGCUAAAAUUUGAAUAGGUUCGAAUUUUUUUUUAAAUCUGAAUGGGUCUAAAUAUGAAUAUCUGAAUGAUAUAUUUACUUUUUCUUUUUAAAUAUCUGAAUCUAAUUGGCAUCUUCUUUUGUUAUAAAAAUAAAACAUCUUAAGCAUGAUUAUUUGACAUUUAUGUUCUUGUAAGUAAAAAAAAAAAAAGGAAAAAGGGGGAUUAAGUUUUAUAAUUUAGGAAAUAAGUAUAUUUUAUAGAGAUAUUUUUUAAAUAUAAUUUUUUUUCAUUCAGACCUUUUCCUAUUCAGAUAAAAGUUAUAAAAGUUUACUUUUUCUAUUCAGAUGUAAAUGUUUGAAAAUCAUACAUAAAUUACAAUAAACAAAUAAGUAAAUUUUAAAAAAAUGUCUGAAAUUAAUAUAAUUAAUUAAUUAAAAUUAUAUAAAAUUUAUAUUAAUCAUGACCAUAUUUAACAUUUCCAAAUAGAUUUAAUCUACAAGUGAUUUAGCAAAAAUUAAUUAAUUAAUUAACCAUAUAAUAAAAUGUCAGGAAAAAAAGAUUUAAAUAUGAGCUACAUUUUGUAUGAGGAUAAACACAAAACUUGUUAAAUUUCGGUUUGUAAACGCAAACAAGUGUACGCUAAAUCUUAAAAAAUAUACUUUAAUUAAAAAAAUAUGUAAUGUCUAUGAGGAAGAAAAAUAUAUAAUAAGAAAAUUAAUAAUUCUAAAUCCUGAAAUAUUCGAUAUAAAAUCUCAGAAUUUAAAUAUUGAAAUCUCGAAAAAUCCGGUACAUAAUCUAAUACAUAAGUCAUACUAUUAGAUGUAUAUGGAGUCUAAUUACAACCUUUACAUUAGGAUCAAAAGUAAAAUUCACGUAAGCAAUUAGUCGUUAAUAAAUAAAAAAAAUAUAGUUAAAUCAUAACCAAAAGCUCUCAAACCUUUAAAGUUUAAGAGAACUCAUGUUACGAGAGCAAUCUUGUUAUUUCGAAUGCUUAGACUUUCAUUUUUAUUUUUGAAUAGCAAAAUAUUUGAAUGAUGAGAACUAACUUUUAAUUUUCAUGUGAAUAAAAAAGGUUCAGAAAGUUUAACAUUCUCUCCAACAUGACCUUAUAAAAUUUAUUUAUUUCCAAUUAUAUAAAGUAAUAUCGUUUAAUUUAUUUACCAUCUUUCUUUAUUAGCAUGCAUGUGUGCUUUGACCUUCGAUGUGGAACUUUGUCGUAAACCCUAAUUUUCAUAGUGCACAUCACCAAUUUGAUCCUCAUCAUACCCAUCACGAGCUCCCUUAUUAGUUCCAAAAUUUCCUGAUCUGAACCCAACUGGUGUUUAUGGAAUGAAGGGUUCGGUCAUUUUGAAUAUUUUGGAACUUUACUUAUCCUUCAUUCCUUCUAUUUCGAAAUUUAAGGACACAUGGCGCAAUGAGAACCCUCUCAAAUGAAAAUUAGUGAUUAUGUGCUUAUUGAAUAUUGAUACUUAAUUUGUUUUCUAACUAAUGUGCCACCAACAAUAUUUUACAAUUUGAAUUAGAAAUGAUAAUGUUUAAUAAUUAACUAUUGCUUGAGACAAUACACAUUAUCUGAUACAUCAAUUAAGAUACAAAUUAAGUACCCAACUUAGUAAACAAAGAAUUCUUGCUUGAGAAUAGGGUUGGCAAAAAAGUCAAGUCUGAAUAUGGGUCGAAAAAUGUAAAGCUCGUAUAGAUUGGAUCUGGAUAAGGAUUUAGAAAAAAGGACCGAGUUUUUUAGGCAAAAGGACCGGACUUCAUUAGUAGUUCAAAAAGAAACUCUAUCCACGAACCUAUAUUUUCAUAAAGAUUAAUGUUAGACAAACUCAUGUGAAGUGACAUUAUGAUAUGUGCUAGUUAGAAGUUCAAAUCGACCCACCUAGUAAUCUAUAUAUUAAUUACCUAACAUUAUAUUUAAGGCUACGUAUAUCAAAGGCAAUCAAGAUCAUUAACGCUCCCAAAAGCUAGUUAGUUAGCUUUUUAACAUUGACAUCUUCUCUCUAAAUGAAAAGAUCAAAUAGAAAUAGUUAUUGGAGGGCACUGAAGAGUUAGGGCAGUGCUCGAGCUAGCUAUUGAUGAUGGCAUUUAAACUUGCUUUGGCUAACUUAUCCUCUUUUUGGUACCAUCAUGCUUCUUAAGGCAUCAAUAGGCUGCAUCACACAUGGCAUGCAGAUGUUAUAAGCACCAUAUUUUGCAGUGGCAAAGCCAAAGUUAACUUAUUUUUCUUAGACUAAGUGGACGUCGUUCUUGCCUUCUUGGCAUGAAUAAUUCCAACCGACAUGUCGUUAAUAUACGAAAGACUUGUUAGUUCUAAGAGCACAGAACGACCGACAUCGUCUUUCGAUCUCUUUCUAAAUUUGAGCUUCAUAUUCAAAACAUCAUUUAAUUUCUUAUCUUUCUUAUAAUGGUAAUGCAUGUCAUGUCAUGUCAUGCCAUAAACUAUUACCUAACAGUGAAUAUAUACAUAGGUGAUCUAGAAAUUAGAAGUGGGAUCAUUGUUCUCUUCGUGUGGUGAUUCACUUAAUUAGCAAUUAACAUAGUUUGGUUUGACUCAUUAUAUUUCAUUUCUGAUAUUUUUUAACUUAUGAAUUAAACACGGACAUACUUUAUGAGAAUCGAAUCCAAAAUUUAGGGUUUUGAUAAGAUUACCCACUAACUAGUAGAGUUAGACCUUGGUCCAUUCCAUUUCUAAUUUAACACAAAACUCAUUUGAUUUAAUUCUACUACUCUACUAUUUCACUUAAAAUCUUUUCAUUAUUUGUACUUUUUCUGAAUGUGCCCAAUUAAUAGUGAAAAUAAAUCUUUGCUGCACUUAAAGUAUUACUCGUUAUCCAUCUACCAUUUACUUCAUGUACACGAAUAUUACCAUAAUUAGUUGAAAUGUACAUGUAAUAUAAGAGUGAUAGAAAAAGUGCAGUGCUCAUGCAGUAUCCAAAUAUUUUCCAAAUCUACGAUAUGAUUACUAUGGUAUAGUAUUUCAUUUGUGGUCUCAAUAUCAUUAACUAAUGACUUAUAUCAUAAAUACCAAAUCAAACAAAGGUAAAUAAAAAAGGUCUAUCAACCAUACAAAUAUUACUUGAAAUGCUCAUAAAAUUGCUCAUACAAAUCUUUUCAUUAUUUUUUAGCAAAAAUCAUACAAUGGUACAAAUCUUUGGAAAAAGAUUUGAACAAGUUGCCUGUUCAAACAUUAUGAUAGCAUGUGACUCCUCUCAAGACUUUAAUAGAGACAUUUUACUACUACAUGAUUGUACAAUUCCUCUAAAAAGGACAAUCUAUUUUUCAUUAUUGAAUUAUGCUUAGGUCAUGCAAGCUAACUUCUAUUACAUAUAGAACUAGCUACUCAUGCUUUGUGAAGCACAUAUACAUUGCAAUAAACUUCCUUUGUCCCUACAAGCUAUUAGGCUGGCUGUUGCAACAAGUUAUUAGGCUGCCUGUUGGAGAAAAAUUAAUGCACAAUGAAUGUUUUGUUACGUCAUAAUAGUCUUCCUGUUGUGCGCGGAAUGCGGAAUCAAGCGCACCAAAUCAUUAUAGAAAAAUAAAGGACACAAGAAUUACGUGGUUCGGUAAUUAAACCUACAUCCACGGAGAUAAGAAAGAAUAAUUGUUUAUUUAACAAUUAAUAGAGUACAAAUAUUUGAGUAACGAAUCUCACUUCCCAGAAACCCAAAUAUACCCAGUACUCUCACACUCUGCAGGAAAGGUAAAUUCCUCAUACACACUUCUCUCACUUUUCUCAAAAGCUUAGAAACUUAUAAGCUUAACAAUUUUGGGAUGAUUUAGAAUGUAAGAAGUGCCAUCUAUUUAUAUGAAAAAUAAUGGCACUAUUGCACCAACCAUUUUACUAUUCCACCUAACCUAAGCAAAUUGUCAAUGGUGUCCAUUUGGUAAAUUUGACAAAUUUGCCAACGUUCCAUUUUUUCUUCAAAUGUUUAGUAGCUCUUUGAAAUUUUGCCACAUGCAUGACUUUUCAACAAUUCUCUACCUCGGCGAAAAUUUGUCCAAAUCUGAGCCGACUACCAACGAACCAUCAUCCCCAAAGUGGCUGCAUCUCUAUAACUGCCUACGUACCCAAAAUUUGGGAUCAAGCCAACCGUAGUUCAAAAUUCCCGAAUGACAUAUCUUAACACAAUCGAAGGAUUUGAAUUAAUUUCAAGCAAUGUUGAAACUUAACUCCAGAAACUACCUUCGUCAACAUAUCUGAUGGAUUAUCUUUGGUAUCGAUCUUUCUCAACAACACAACACCGCUCUCGAUAAUCUCUCUCACAUAAUGAUAUUUCACAUCUAUGUGCUUCGUCCGAACAUGAUAUGUUUGAUUCUUCGCAAGGAAUUUCGUACUUUGAUUAUCACAGAAGACCGCAAUGUUAUCCUGGAUUACUCCCAAAUCACCUAACAAGCCUUUCAACCAGAUAGCUUCUUUUACAGCUUCAGUUGCUGCCAUAUACUCUGCUUCCGUAGUGGACAGAGCAACUGUCGAUUGUAGAAUCGACCUCCAGCUAACCGGACCUCCACCCAAUGUGAAUACGUAGCCCGUUGUUGAUCUUCGCUUGUCAAGGUCUCCAACGAAAUCAGAAUCACAAUACCCAACACAUUGUUGACCACAAUCAUUCUUGAACAAUAACCCAACAUCAACUGUCCCAUAUAGAUAUCGGAGAAUCCACUUUACCGCAAGCCAUUGAUUUUUACCCGGAUUGUGCAUGUAUCUACUAACCAUGCUCACUGCUUGAGAUAUAUCGGGCCUUGUGCAUACCAUAGCAUACAUAAGACUGUCCACAGCACUAACAUAUAGAACACGAGCCAUGUAAUCGCGCUCCUCUUGAGAUCUAGGACAUGAAGAAGAGCUUAAUUUGAAAUGAGGAGCUAGAUGUGUACAUACCGGUUUAGUUUUGUCAUCCAUACCGAAUCUUUCUAGCACUUUCUUCAAAUAAGACUUUUGAGUCAACCAUACGCUCCCAUUCUUCUUGUCUCUACGAAUCUUCAUCCCAAGUAUUCUUUGUGCAUCACACAAGUCUUUCAUCUCGAACUCAGAAGCCAGCUGCUUUUUUAAUCUUUCGAUCUCAUCUCUAUUCUUCGAAGCUAUAAGCAUAUCAUCGACAUAGAGUAACAAAUAGAUGAAAGCUCCAUCUAGUAGUCUUCUAAAGUAAACACAAUGAUCGUGUUCACUUCUAGUGAAUUUCUGCCCUUGUAUAAAUUGGUCAAAUCUUUUGUACCACUGCCUAGGUGAUUGCUUCAGUCCGUACAAAGAUUUAAUCAACCAACACACAUGAUUCUCCUUUCCAGCAACUCUGAAACCACAAGGCUGAAUCAUAUAGAUUUCCUCCUCCAAAUCUCCAUGUAAGAAUGCCGUCUUAACAUCCAAUUGAGCCAACUCUAACUCAUAUUCUGCAACUAAGGCAAGUAGGAUAUGAAUGGAAGUAUGUUUUACAACUGGAGAGAAAACUUCAUUGUAGUCAAUACCUUCCUUUUGAGCAAAACCUUUUGCCACAAGCCUUGCCUUGUAUCGAGGAGUUGUUUGAUUCGGAGAUCCUUGUUUUUUAGUGUAGACCCAUUUAUUACCAAUAGCCCUUUUCCCCUUUGAUGGAGAGAUUUCAUCUCUUCCUCCAUGGCUAACUUCCACUGAUCACUUUCACUGCUGCGUAAUGCUUCACCGAAAGUGUUGGGGAUGUCAUCAUCAAUAACUGGAAGUGCAUAGGCUACCACCGUAUCUUUAGUAAGCCAUCUGGGUUUCUUUAUCUCUCUUCUUGGCCUCCUUGUUGCUAUAAAAUCAUCAUUAUCUGCAUCAUCAAUUGUUUCUUCAUUUUGUGGGACAUCAGAAGAAACAACCAAUUCUUCAACUCUAGGUGUCACCUCCAUAGUUAAACUCUUCUUUGAUGUAGAACUAACUGGUACAUAUGGAGUUGCAUCAAACUCCACCCGCUGCAAUACCUCUUUGGUCUUGUUCUCCACCUACUGAGAACUUGAAGCUUUCAUCAUUGAAGCUUUCAUCAUUGAAGUUUCAUCAAAUGUGACAUCUCUGCUACACACAAACUUUUUGUCUUCGAGAUCCCAAAGCUUGAAGCCCUUUACUCCACCUUUGAAUCCCACAAAGAUAGUUUUUCUAGCACGAGGAUCCAGUUUACCAUCUUUGACAUGAUAAUAAGCUGGACACCCGAAUACACGAAGGGAAUCAUAGUCUUGUGCAUACUUUCCAGACCACAUUUCCAUAGGAGUUUUACCUCCAAUUGCAGCAGAAGGCAACCAGUUUACCAAGUGACUUGCGUAGCUCACAGCUUCAGCCCAAAACUUUUUAUCUAAACCAGCAUUAGAUAACAUACACCGUACCUUCUCCAGUAAAGUACGAUUCAUACGCUCAGCCACACCGUUCUGUUGCGGAGUAUGUCUUACCGUGAAAUGUCUUUUAAUACCCUCGUUCUGGCAUACUUGCAAGAAUGGAUCAGAAGUAUAUUCACCCCCAUUAUUAGAUCGUAAUAUUUUGAUCUUUCUGCCAGUUUGAGUCUCCACUAAAAUUUUCCAUUUCACGAAAAUCUCUAUAACCUCAUCCUUUGCUCGCAUGGUGUACAACCACACAUGUCUAGAGAAAUCAUCAACAAAUAUAACAAAAUAAUGGCUUCCACUAAUUGAUGCAGUCUUGGUUGGUCCCCAUACAUCACUAUGAACAUAUUCAAGGAUCUCACGAGUAUCGUUAUUAGCUGUACCAAACUUGACCCUUGUUUUCUUGCCUACUACACAAUGCUCACAUAAAUUUAAUUUACAGGUUUUGGUACCUUUUAAGAGUCCAUGCCUCAUCAGAGUUUGCAAAAACUUCUCUCCAGCAUGUCCCAGUCGUACAUGUCAUAUCUUGGUGGUGUCACUGUGCGCCUCAACAACAUUUGCUUCAUCAGUUGUACCUCCCUUCAAAUAGUACAGAUUGUGACGCCAAAUCCCUUGCAGAAUCACCAUAGCCCCAUGUGUAAACUUCAUUGUACCAUCUUCAAUGGUAAUCUUGUAGCCUUUAGCUUCUAAAGCACCCACAGAAAUUGGAUUUUUCUUUAAAGCUGGAACAAAUCUAACCUCUUUGAGUUCUCUGAUCAUUCCAUCAAACAUUUUGAGUCGAAUUGUUUCUAUCUCCAUUGUACGACAAGAUUGAUCAUUCCCCAUCACAACUGCACCGGAUUCCAGAUUACAAAAAUCUGUAAACCAUUCCUUAAUAUGACACAAAUGAUAGGUUGCUCCAGUAUCAAGUAUCCACUCGCUCGAACUAGCCACGUAUGCUGCAUGAGUAAUACUUAGUGAAUAAUCAGAGCCGUCAUUUUUCCGUGCCAUGUUUGCUGCUGGUGGUUUCUUCACAUCUCUCUUUUGAGCCUUUGGACAAUCUUUCCUCCAAUGGCCUUUUUCAUGACAAAAGGCACACUCAUCUCGAGCUAUAUUUCUGCUUCUCGAUUUGGAUCGAGAAUUCUUUCCACCACGCUUCUUCUGUUUCUCUAUCGCCCAAUCUCUGCUCACCAAAGUUUCAGACGAUGCUCAUUCAGAAUUUUUAUCAUUAUUCCGAAUCUCUAAGCUAGUUAAUGCUGUGCAAACAUCUUUAAAGAUGAUCACACUCUUCCCAUAUAUCAAAGUAGUCACAAAAUGGCUAUAUUCCUCUGGUAGUGAGUGUAACAGAAUCAUAGCCUUGACUUUAUCCUUAAUAUCUUCAUUAAGAUUCUUCAAAUCAGCAAGUAACUUUUCAAAUCUUGAAACAUGAUUGUGCAUUGACACCCUAGGCUUCAUUCGAAAACCAUAUACUUGGCUCAUUGCAUGAAGGCGAUUUUCAGGACUUUUCACCAGGUACUUCUCCUCCAAUGUACGCCACAAGUCACCGCAUACUCAUCAUCUUUCACCAAGUAUUUCACCUUCUUGGUCAAACAAGAUCUGAUUUGACCACAAGCUUUCUCAUUCAUACGAUCCCAAAUUUCUUCAUCAUACAAAUGUUUUUUAUUUUUCAGAACAAAAUCAAGAUCGAUUUGAAUAAGGGCAUCCAUUACUUCGCGCCUCCACAUGCCGAAGUUGAUUUUCCCAUCAAACUUUUCAACAUCGAUCUUCUGGCCUCCGAUAAUAGGUGUUGAAUAGCGAUUUGACAAAUCUCGCCUCCCACCUGAAGUGUCUCCUGAAAUAGUCUCGGUAGAUCUCUCCCCAAUUCUGGAAGUUUCACCUUCUAUCAUUUUUUCAACGAACUAUUUCCACUUGAAAAACAAUCUCUAUGAUGUUAAUUUCGCGUGAAUAAAUGCACCAGGAAAGUUUCCAGGAGACUGGACGGGAACUCGGUCCCAAUUAAAAAUCAGAAUCCUUAGACUCUUAUCGCCUUUGUUGACAGAACUUUCCUAGACAUGCAAAAAUACACACUACUUACAAUAGACUGUCUCCCAAGUACAAAUGGCCGUCUCCACCGUAUUCGUGAAUAGUACCGUAUGUGAACAGUACCGUAUAUAUGAAUAGUAUUGUAUACGUGAACAGUGCCGUAUCUACGAACCGUACCGUAUUCGUGAACAGUACCGUAUGUGAAUAGUACCAUAUACAUGAACAAUACCGUAUCCCCCAAGUACGAACCGUUGAUACCACUUGUUAUGCGCGGAAUGCGGAAUCAAGCGCACCAAAUAAUUAUAGAAAAAUAAAAGACACAAGAAUUACGUGGUUCGGUAAUUAAACCUACAUCCACGGAGGUAAGAAAGAAUAAUUGUUUAUUUAACAAUUAAUAGAGUACAAAUAUUUGAGUAACGAAUUUCACUUCCCAGAAACCCAAAUAUACCCAGUACUCUCACACUCUGCAGGAAAGAUAAAUUUCCCAUACACACUUCUCUCACUUCUCUUAAAAGCUUAGAAACUUAUAAGCUUAACAAUUUUGGGAUGAUUUAGAAUGGAAGAAGUGCCAUCUAUUUAUAGGAAAAAUAAUGGCACUAUUGCACCAAUCCCUUUACUAUUCCACCUAACCUAAGCAAAUUGUCAAUGGUGUCCAUUUGACAAAUUUGACAAAUUUACCAACUUUCCAUUUUUUCUUCAAAUGUUUGGUAGCUCUUUGAAAUUUUGCUACAUGCAUGACUUUUCAACACUUCCUUUACUAGCUAGUAGCCAACCCUUGGUGUAUAAAUGAAUACCCAUUCAUGCAAACUCUCUGUUGCAGCAACCUUGGUUUUGUUCUUCUUCUUCUUUAUGCUCUUUUCUUCUCUCCUCUGCUUCUUGCAAUUACUUAAUUAACACACACACACACACAUAUAUAUAUAAGCAAUAUAAUGAAUUACAAUUUGCCACGUUGAAGUCCUUUGAGGAAGUGGAUGCUUUCGUGGAAUUUGAGGAACAAGGCCAGCAUGAAAACGCGAUGAAGAUCCCAUUUUGCAAAUAUGUUUGUUUUAGAGGCAACUCUAAUUUAAGGUUGUCGUAAUUUUUCGUAUUAUACAUAACAAGUGCCUAAUUAACCAUAGAUCUCCUAUAUAUGCAGCUGUAUGCCACAAUAUCGAGUGGAUCAAUCGCCAUUAGACGAAGCCCAUACCAUGGGGAAGACCUUGCAAAACAAGAUUGAGAAAGCCGCAGAAGUUGAACGAGCAUUCGUUCAUAUAUACUGACUUGGCCACAAGCUACCCAGCAGUCAGCCAUGAUUGUUUCAACUCUUAUUACUUCUAAGUCACCCAUGUAACUGUUACUAGGGCAAAGCCCAAAGAAAGCUACGUGAAACCAUUCGGACAAGUCUCGAGAGACUUAUAGGUACUAUAACUUAAUAAUUUAGAAAGUUAAGCAAUUUUUUUAUAUUUAUGAACACGGUGUUAGAGCCUGCGUCUAACUUUGAAUCCUGGUUCAUAACCAUCCUGUAAAUCAAUCAAGUACGUUAAUUGCACUACACGAAAAAUAUUUUUUGUCUUCGAACAAUUGUUAUCCAAAAAAAUGAACUUGUAGUAACAUGUAAUCCAUUUUUAAUACAUUAAUUACAUGCUAAGAUAAAGACCCUUUUCGAAAAGAAAGAAAGGAGAGAAAAGAUGGCAAGCACGCAAACUUAGUGCAAAACUGCAAACGUGUUAGGGGUCUUGUUGUUUUGGUUGCUAGACAUCAAGUUACUUUUGGCAGGAGCGUAAUGGUUUUCAUAUUUGGUCAUAUGGAUUUAAGUUGAAAUCUUUAAAAGACACGCAGUAAAACAGAGACAGAAUAAAAUGCUCUACUUCAUUUCAUUGUAUAUGCACAGUUCAAUUCUUGCUGGCCAAAAUGUGUUGAACCAGACGGCUGCAUGUUUAUCUCCAUUGUACCGUUGAUCUUAUCCUCACUUCUCAUUGGCAUUCUCGGUACUUUGCUGAGUCACUUGCCACGUCUGCCAUAUCAGGUUACAUGUCACUUGUCUAGUCAGGUGCUUGUUAGGAGCUGCUUCACUGUGUCAAUUCAUCAAGCAUUUAGUUUACUUCAUCAAACACCUUCAUCAGGAAAAGUCAUUUGUACUCGGGUCGAAUAUUUGAACUCUAAAAAAUAAUGAAAUACCCAGCAACAUACUUUCCAAUGAAACGUUUUAUUACUAAAAUAAUAACUCCAAAAUAACAAAAGGUUUUUACUAAAUUGUAAAACAUAUUCAACCUACGCACGUCGUUUUUUUUUUUUUCAGAAGAUCGUCGAGAUUACAUUACAUGAUAAGCAGAUAAUGAUUUAUUGAACGCCGCAGCAGAAAAUAUGGCGCUCUAUUUUGUAAGGAAAGCAACAGUCUUAGCCGUUAAUAUUAUUGAUUGCAUGCUAAAGGCCAAGCCUGUUUUACACAAGGUAGCAAAAUGCUCACAGUUACUUACCAGUAGAUUGUAGCCAGCACAAAAAUCUUUCCUUUGUAGUUUGCUAGUGGCAAAUUCAAUAACUUCCUCCGGUGACUUUAUACAACCACCAUACUGUAUGACAUACUGACGUACAAUGCUACACUCAUAAUCAUAGACAUACAAUGAGUGGCCAUCCAAGAAGCAAUCAAGACACGUUUUGAUGGUUCCACAAUUAAACCCUUUCUGGCACCCUUUUGCUACAUGCAUGACUUUUCAACACUUCCUUUACUAGCUAGUAGCCAACCCUUGGUGUAUAAAUGAAUACCCAUUCAUGCAAACUCUCUGUUGCAGCAACCUUGGUUUUGUUCUUCUUCUUCUUUAUGCUCUUUUCUUCUCUCCUCUGCUUCUUGCAAUUACUUAAUUAACACACACACACACACAUAUAUAUAUAAGCAAUAUAAUGAAUUACAAUUUGCCACGUUGAAGUCCUUUGAGGAAGUGGAUGCUUUCGUGGAAUUUGAGGAACAAGGCCAGCAUGAAAACGCGAUGAAGAUCCCAUUUUGCAAAUAUGUUUGUUUUAGAGGCAACUCUAAUUUAAGGUUGUCGUAAUUUUUCGUAUUAUACAUAACAAGUGCCUAAUUAACCAUAGAUCUCCUAUAUAUGCAGCUGUAUGCCACAAUAUCGAGUGGAUCAAUCGCCAUUAGACGAAGCCCAUACCAUGGGGAAGACCUUGCAAAACAAGAUUGAGAAAGCCGCAGAAGUUGAACGAGCAUUCGUUCAUAUAUACUGACUUGGCCACAAGCUACCCAGCAGUCAGCCAUGAUUGUUUCAACUCUUAUUACUUCUAAGUCACCCAUGUAACUGUUACUAGGGCAAAGCCCAAAGAAAGCUACGUGAAACCAUUCGGACAAGUCUCGAGAGACUUAUAGGUACUAUAACUUAAUAAUUUAGAAAGUUAAGCAAUUUUUUUAUAUUUAUGAACACGGUGUUAGAGCCUGCGUCUAACUUUGAAUCCUGGUUCAUAACCAUCCUGUAAAUCAAUCAAGUACGUUAAUUGCACUACACGAAAAAUAUUUUUUGUCUUCGAACAAUUGUUAUCCAAAAAAAUGAACUUGUAGUAACAUGUAAUCCAUUUUUAAUACAUUAAUUACAUGCUAAGAUAAAGACCCUUUUCGAAAAGAAAGAAAGGAGAGAAAAGAUGGCAAGCACGCAAACUUAGUGCAAAACUGCAAACGUGUUAGGGGUCUUGUUGUUUUGGUUGCUAGACAUCAAGUUACUUUUGGCAGGAGCGUAAUGGUUUUCAUAUUUGGUCAUAUGGAUUUAAGUUGAAAUCUUUAAAAGACACGCAGUAAAACAGAGACAGAAUAAAAUGCUCUACUUCAUUUCAUUGUAUAUGCACAGUUCAAUUCUUGCUGGCCAAAAUGUGUUGAACCAGACGGCUGCAUGUUUAUCUCCAUUGUACCGUUGAUCUUAUCCUCACUUCUCAUUGGCAUUCUCGGUACUUUGCUGAGUCACUUGCCACGUCUGCCAUAUCAGGUUACAUGUCACUUGUCUAGUCAGGUGCUUGUUAGGAGCUGCUUCACUGUGUCAAUUCAUCAAGCAUUUAGUUUACUUCAUCAAACACCUUCAUCAGGAAAAGUCAUUUGUACUCGGGUCGAAUAUUUGAACUCUAAAAAAUAAUGAAAUACCCAGCAACAUACUUUCCAAUGAAACGUUUUAUUACUAAAAUAAUAACUCCAAAAUAACAAAAGGUUUUUACUAAAUUGUAAAACAUAUUCAACCUACGCACGUCGUUUUUUUUUUUUUCAGAAGAUCGUCGAGACAGAAGAUCGUCGAGAUUACAUUACAUGUUUUUUUUCAGAAGAUCGUCGAGAUUACAUUACAUGAUAAGCAGAUAAUGAUUUAUUGAACGCCGCAGCAGAAAAUAUGGCGCUCUAUUUUGUAAGGAAAGCAACAGUCUUAGCCGUUAAUAUUAUUGAUUGCAUGCUAAAGGCCAAGCCUGUUUUACACAAGGUAGCAAAAUGCUCACAGUUACUUACCAGUAGAUUGUAGCCAGCACAAAAAUCUUUCCUUUGUAGUUUGCUAGUGGCAAAUUCAAUAACUUCCUCCGGUGACUUUAUACAACCACCAUACUGUAUGACAUACUGACGUACAAUGCUACACUCAUAAUCAUAGACAUACAAUGAGUGGCCAUCCAAGAAGCAAUCAAGACACGUUUUGAUGGUUCCACAAUUAAACCCUUUCUGGCACCCGUUGUUUUGGCAUGUAGCAUGGUAUACACUUGAUGCAGACGAGCUAGAUUUCAUUUUCGUUGAUGAAUAUGCACUUCUUUUCCUGGGUCCAUUGACAUGAAUUACCAAGUCAUCGCCCACAUAUAUUCCUGUACACGAAAAAGAGGAAAUGCCAGAUUCAGCACUGCGCAUAAGCAGGAAAAGUUACAAUACAUACAGACAUUAGACUUCUCAAUGAAUACUAAAAGUAAGCUGACCAUGAUGAUAGUAGAGACCAUUCCACCUUUCAGUGCAAAUGUGAUCACCAGGUUUGAGCAUUUCCCUACUAAUGGCCCUGCAUGUUUGGUCUCCCAUUUUUGUCUCUUUUAAACCAUCCAUUGAAUGGGGACAGUACAAAUUUAUACAAAUGCUUUGAAAUGUCAGGAGACUUACAAAUUUCCAAAAUCUGCUAUUACCCAACUCAAAAAUUCAUUUCUUUGGUUACACAUAUCCAAAAAUAAAAUUUCCAGUUUUGACAGAGGAGACAACAAGAAAUUUGUAUUAAAAUUAAUAAGGCAUUUAAUGAUCACAAAGUAACCCAAACUGACUCCCAAUUCAGCUUCUGAAAUUCUGAAAAAACAGUCUUUAGAAACUGCAGCACCAAACAUUACAAUUUUUAUUUUAUUUUAUUUUUCUAAAAGGUUAAAAAUAACGAAAUACAAUAUACAGAAAAUGGACAUGUAGACAUAUUGAAAUAAAAUUUCCUAUAAUUUAUGGAAGCUAUUUGGUUUACCAAAUAAAUUGUAGAAGUGAGGGCAACUGCUGAAAAUUGAAAUUUUCCAGCCCCAGUAUUGCAACUUCAAAAAAUCAUAACAAUUCAUGCUUUAAGAAUUUUUUAACAUGAAACAUAUCAGCGAAAAGCUCAGGAAAUCUAUUUUAAAAUCAUAAAAUUAAUUUCACAUGAUUCCAGCUAAACCAAAAGAUAUUCAGUAUAAUAUCCACACUGCUCACAGCAUCUCAGGAUUACUAAAAACAUAUUCUCAUUAAUUUCAAGAGUUAAACCUGUGCCAAUAAUUAUCAAUCAACUAACCAGCAAAACAGAGCAUACUCAUGGAUUAAACAAACAAUACCUCAAGAUGUUUAGCCUGCCUCUUACACAAGCAAAGCCAACCAAAACACAAGGUAAAAAGGCCGCAAGCAAACUUCUUCCAAAAUUAAAAGAAAACAGCACCCUUUUUUUUCCCCUCUUCUUCUUCCUUUCAAUGAAAAUAUUUUCUCCUCCCCCCUUUUUUUUUUCUGAAACCGUGAAAGUGCAAAGAGGGACAAGAGUUUUGACCUUUUAACAUAAUAAAAAGAAAUUAGUGGCUAAGAACUGUAUUUUAAAUCUGGAGCAAUUCUCUAGCUAAAAAUAAACUGUAUUUUUCUUUUAGGAUGGGUGAUCUCUACAAUGAACAGCUUCAAAGCAGUUUAUUUCUCAUUACCCACUUUAAAUUUUACAAUUUACUAUUCCAAUCCUCACCAAUAAAUCAUGCCCACUAAUAUUUAUUAACAUCCAGAUGAAACUUUUUGGGAUAAAGAAUAAUCACACACAGUCUUUAGAAACUGCAGCACCAAACAUUACAAUUUUUAUUUUAUUUUAUUUUUCUAAAAGGUUAAAAAUAACGAAAUACAAUAUACAGAAAAUGGACAUGUAGACAUAUUGAAAUAAAAUUUCCUAUAAUUUAUGGAAGCUAUUUGGUUUACCAAAUAAAUUGUAGAAGUGAGGGCAACUGCUGAAAAUUGAAAUUUUCCAGCCCCAGUAUUGCAACUUCAAAAAAUCAUAACAAUUCAUGCUUUAAGAAUUUUUUAACAUGAAACAUAUCAGCGAAAAGCUCAGGAAAUCUAUUUUAAAAUCAUAAAAUUAAUUUCACAUGAUUCCAGCUAAACCAAAAGAUAUUCAGUAUAAUAUCCACACUGCUCACAGCAUCUCAGGAUUACUAAAAACAUAUUCUCAUUAAUUUCAAGAGUUAAACCUGUGCCAAUAAUUAUCAAUCAACUAACCAGCAAAACAGAGCAUACUCAUGGAUUAAACAAACAAUACCUCAAGAUGUUUAGCCUGCCUCUUACACAAGCAAAGCCAACCAAAACACAAGGUAAAAAGGCCGCAAGCAAACUUCUUCCAAAAUUAAAAGAAAACAGCACCCUUUUUUUUCCCCUCUUCUUCUUCCUUUCAAUGAAAAUAUUUUCUCCUCCCCCCUUUUUUUUUUCUGAAACCGUGAAAGUGCAAAGAGGGACAAGAGUUUUGACCUUUUAACAUAAUAAAAAGAAAUUAGUGGCUAAGAACUGUAUUUUAAAUCUGGAGCAAUUCUCUAGCUAAAAAUAAACUGUAUUUUUCUUUUAGGAUGGGUGAUCUCUACAAUGAACAGCUUCAAAGCAGUUUAUUUCUCAUUACCCACUUUAAAUUUUACAAUUUACUAUUCCAAUCCUCACCAAUAAAUCAUGCCCACUAAUAUUUAUUAACAUCCAGAUGAAACUUUUUGGGAUAAAGAAUAAUCACACAAACUAAACUGAGAAGCAAAACAACAUGAAACACAGAGAACUUGAAGCACAAAGAGAGUCAAAACAAAAAUUAAGUAAAAUAAAACAAACCUUUCAAUCGGCUGAGACGGAAGUGUGUCAAGAGCAGAUCGACGGCGCGGAGGCAACGACGACAGGUGGCGCUGGAAACGCGAGCAGAGCGACGGCAAAUGGCUAAUUCAUGACGGCUUGUUCUGUGAAGUCCAUUGAUGGUCGGGUUUCAAGGGCUUUGCAAUUUGAUAAUAGAACUCGUGUAAGUGGCUUCAUAUAAAGGGAUACAAUUUGAGAAUAAGGAAUGGGAAUUUCAUUCCCAUGGAGAGUUGGGAAUGGAAUUCUCAUUCCUGAAUUGACUUACGGCUUAAUCUUAAACACUCAUAUUUAUUAUUCACACAUAGAAUUCCAAAAAUUCGUAUUUGUAAAUGCUUUGAGUACAUGAAUGAUGAUUCCCCAAUUCUUUACAUUCUAAUUGGAGAUUUGCAGCGAGUUCUAUGUGUGCCGAUAAGUGAUUUUAGUGCUAUCGAUGUUUAAUUUAAUUAUCUUUCUUGACAAAAUUUGCAAUGAAACGCUCAUGACAAUUCACACGCCCCACCUGCAAAAAUAUUGUGAAGCAGAACUGAAGACACAGUGACUUUGAUUUAAAAGCAGAGUUACAGUAGCCACUAGCACUCUCGUAACAACAAGGGAAUUAACAAAAUGCUGUUGGGAGAACAAAGGAAUGUGAAGCAACAAUGAACUAGAGUUGACUAAUAACCAAAAUAUUCUCCGGCUCAAGUGUUAGCCUACUGAGUGUUCAGGAUAGUUCGACAGAGCAGAGUACAACAUCAAACUCUUAUUAAGCAGAGAACUUCAAUAAUUUAUCAGCUACCUUUUCUAAAAGUUUAGGUCUCGGUGAUGAAAAUUUAACUCAACAUUGCCUGAUUAAUAACCGUAGUUCGAGCCACAGACAGAGCCGCAGCCUCUAGCAUGGCCUGCAUGUGCUGGAUUAGAAAGGGAUGAUCUAUACAUUGAUGCAUAUGGGUUAUAACCUUUGUCUGCAGACCCACCCAGCCAUGAAAUUCUGCCAUAUGACAAAAAUGAUGAAACAAAAACACACUUUAUGCCCUUAAUCGUGCAUUUCCAAAUUAAACACAUAUUUUGAGUAAAUUUCGAAAUUUACCACGAUCUCCCAUGAAUCCGAGCUUGCAGCUUGUUAUGGAGCUUCAACAGAGUUGCUGCUACUUUUGUCUAGCUUCUGAAUUCCGCUUUCGUUUCCUUAGCUCAAGAUCACGGCUUCUCUCAGCAACUUACUGUGCACACACACGGGAGACAAACGGGAGAGAGAGAGAUGCACUACACUCAUGCCACAGAUUUCUUGAACAGUUAACUUUCAAUGGGCUGAAGUUACUUAAAUACAGUGGUUGAGCGCAGGGACCCCUCAUGUGUUAGUACAAAAUUGCCCAUCCCAUUAUGGGCGAAAAUAACACAAUUAAGGAUAUACUUGUCCAUAAUAUACUACUGUACGGGGUAUGUCAAAAUUGCUCCAUAAUAUUUGACAAUAGUCACGUAUUAAUUCGGUAAAAUAUAGAAAACAAUUAGAAUGAUUUAUGUCAGUCCACAUAAUGUGAAAAAUAAAUCUAACAAAAAAGAGUACCACCGGCUUAAAAUCCAAAAGAGAGCGAGCACAAGAACACUAUAAAGGCUACAUGGAAAACAGCAGUCAUAACAUCCAUACUGAAAAUUAAAGAAGAUAAUAGCUGUAUAUUGUUUAUUUGAUACAUCUUCAUAAUAUCAGAUCAUACUGAUAUGUUGUGAAGAGGGAGAGAGCGGGAAAACACGCUGAAUGUGAGUCCAUUAAGAAAUAUAAUUUCACUUGGCCAAGAACAAAAGGAAGAAAAACAACGAUUAUUGUGCUUCAGUUCUAAGGGCCCAAAGUGGUGAUGUUUGUCUUUAAUGCAUCUCCAGCUACAAACAUUACUUCUUUGGAGAGUGAAACUCCAACUUUUCCUUCAUCAUCCUGUGCUAGGCGGACACAGUUGAAGUGCUUAUCAUUGGAACCUGCAUGCAAAGGCGAAGCUAAUUUAGAUAAUUUCUCAUGAACUAUAACAAAAUAUAAGCAACAAAAGAAGUAAUAUUCACGAGUUUAAGGUAAAGAUAGUUUCGAUUUCCCAGUAACGUUUAUAUUAAUGAGUCUUAGGUGCUAAUAUCCGCACUCUUACUGUUGUGAAAAUUUUAAUAUGCUCGCAAGCGCACGAAUUUAGAAAUAGAAUAGUAGUAACGAGGUCGAUCCCACAGAGAUUGUUAUAAAUUGAAAAGUUUAAUUUAAAUCUAAAAUUAAUAUUAAUCAUAACCUAGUUGACCAAUUUAAAUUUUUAAGAGAAAUUAAACUAAUUAAACUAAGAAAACAAUUAAAGUAAAUGAGAUUUCAAUAAGACAAAAAUUACCAACGUUUCGGAAUCCAUGACUAUUCAACUAGUAAUUAUCUAAUUAUUAAUUAAUCCUCAAUUUUAGAGUGACAACUCGAAAUCAAUCUAUGUCAUCUCAUAAAUAUAACAAUUAAGCCCAAUUAAAAUUAAUCUUGUGUAAGUUAUUUUUCUGCUUAAUAGUAUGAUAUCUAAGUAUCCCAUGUAAACAUAUUGAAAAACAAAGAGUCAAAGUUUUCAUAAGUACUAUGUGUAAACAAUUUAAUGAAAGACAUAGAAUCAAAGAUAAUCAUGUAUAAACUUUAUAAAUCCAAGCAUAGAUUUAAUCGAAUAUUAAUCCUACCAAUCAAUAACGCAUGAUAAAAUUGAUGAAAAUAUUUUAAUAAUAUCCAAUUAAUCAUGUGAAAUAAAAACUAUAAUCAUCAAAGAACAUAUAUAGGGAAUUAAUUAAAUAAAAAGAGAUAAUUAUUUCAUUGAAUAGGGUUUCAUCCUUAACCUCAAUAAAAAAAAUUUAGUUAUACAUACUUGAAUUGGAAGCAACAAAAUAAAUAAAAUCACUCAUGGAAGCCGAACUGCUGCUGCUGCUGCCCAGCCUUGCGUCUGCUUUCCUCUGGCGGCUACCUUCCUUGCAAAAGCCAAAGUUCGGCUUUUAUAUUGUAACACCCUCCAAAAUCCUCAAAUCAAAAGGUUUUAAAACAAGCCAAGCACAACCGACUUUGAGCCAUGCACGUGAAGCCCACUUGGAAUUUUCAUUUUUUUUUGUAAUGCCCUGCAAUUGCUUCUCACGUGCAGGCCACUUUAGCUUUAAAUUUCUUCUUUGUUUGCACUAGCAUGGAGAAUUCAAUUUAUUGGCUUCGACUUCUUCAGAUUGAAUUUCAUACACAUUUGCUUAACUGCUUCUACAAAUUGACUUGAUGUUCAAUGUUGUUCAGUUGUUAUUCUUUAUGCACUUUUCAUCCAUAAUCUCUAAUUAAUUCCUUAUUUAAUAAAAUAAUUUAAUUAACUAAAAAUGACCAAUGAAAAUAGCUAGCAAUUAUACAAUUAAGAGUAAAAUAUGUAUAUAAAUUAUGCUCAUCACUUACAAAGCAUAUAUAUGAAUCAACGGUCAAUUUAUAACACUAUAAAUCCUUCUUCAACGUUACUAUAAUGUGCUGUACAGAAACUUUUACAGUAUUGUACUGGAAAGCUUUACAAUAUUGUAAAAUUCCUUUACAGCAGUGUAAAAGAAUUGAUCCACACUUUAUAAAGUGCGAACAUCGGCAAAAAGAUUCAUAUUCUUGUUAACCCCUUGAAAGUUCAUAUAGUCCCAAUAACUAAUUUUUUUUUUUUGAAAGGUUAAUUAUUUGAAAAUUAAAAUAAGUUUCCAGUUUCGACACUACCUGUACGGGUUCGAACUAAAUGAGUCAGUUCGUACUUGGGGCGGGACCGGUCACGUGCCUUGUUUGAUGAAAGCAAAGCAGGUGCACCCAUCCGGAAGAGACAGUUGGUUAGCAACACGGACAGGUUCUUACCAGAAUACCAAGAAUGAGCAAUCUUUUCAGUACUUACGACGACUGUAUAGGAGUUAGGUUUUCCUUUAAGGAGGGUCCAAGCGAGCUCGACGGAUAAGAGGCUUGCACUAAAGCCCAUGCCACCAAGAUUGCAGGUCUUGAUGUCAGUUCUAAGCUUGUAACGGUUCACUAUCAUGGAAGAAAAGAGAUGGGACUGGAUUGAAUAAGCUGCAGUUCACGAUAAGGAUUCUAACAUCACUAGUUUUGUCAAAAAGAGAAUCAAGUGCACCGAACAUGACUGAUUCAGCCUCCGACCGGGCUUGAUGAAAGGAAAGAUUGGGAGGUGAGGAUGUUGCUCCCCUUCGUAUAUACGUUUCGUCACCAAUACAAACCCGGUUCGCUAUACGUUUCUGGAAAUGAAACGAGUCCUCUUGGAACAAGCCUCUAUUUUCGGUCACUUUCAAGAACUUGUCGACUGAAGCUUUGAGUUCAUCAUCUGGUUUGUAACACGAGAAGUCGACUAGGUAGACCGUCCUGGAAUGCUUGGACCAGAAGAGCACUGCGAAGAGUAGAAUAAUUAGUGUAGUGGAAACUGCAGGUAGUUGUAACUCGGCCAUCCGGUUCAGUUCUAGACCGGGGAGCUGGACCGCAGUUGCACGAGUACCCAUUUUUCCCAUGCCCAUACCUAAAGAGAAGAUGGGUUGCUUAAUUGUAAAUUAUGGUAUAACAAGCGUCCGUAAGGGAAAAUAAAUAAAUAAUAAUAAAGAACAACGUUGAAAAAGUAAAUUUUAAAAACCCUACCCAUCUUUAUAUAGUAAAUCGAUUGGGCUUGAAAAUUUUAAAUGUUGUUCUUCAAUUAAUUGUAAGUAGUUGCAAGAAGAGAUAGAAUAGAUAGGUAAAAUGGGUAGUUUCAAAAAAAUGCAGCACGAUAGAGUGAGGGAGGGGCUGAAAAGAUCAAAUAGAAAUAGUAAUUGGAGGGCACUGGAGAGUUAGGGCAGUGCUCGAGCUAGCUAUUGAUAAUGGCAUUUAAACUUGCUUCGGCUAACUUAUCCUCUUUUUGGUAACAUCAUGCUUCUUAAGGCAUCAAUAGGCUGCAUCAGACAUGGCAUGCAGAUGUUAUAAGCACCAUAUUUUGCAGUGGCAAAGCCAAAGUUAAGAACUUAUUUUUCUUAGGCUAAGUAGAUGUCAUUCUUGCUUUCUUCGCAUGAAUAAUUCCAACCGACAUGUCGUUAAUGUACGAAGGACUUGUUAGUUCUAAGAACACACAACGACCGACAUCGUCUUUCGAUCUCUUUCUAAAUUUGAGCUUCAUCUUCAAAACAUCAUUUAAUUUCUUAUCUAUCUUAUAAUGGUAAUGCAUGUCAUGUCAUGCCAUAAACUAUUACCUAACAGUGAACAUAUGCAUGGGUGAUUUAGAAAUUAGAAGUAAGACCAUUGUCCUGUUCGUGUGGUGGUUGACUUAAUUAGCAAUUAACAUAGUUUGAUUUGACUCAUUAUAUUUCAUUUCUUUUCUUUUUUUAAUUAUUAAUUAAACAUACGCACUCUAUGUAAGAUUCGGACCCAAAACUUAGGGUCAUGAUAAGAUUACCCACUAACUAGUAGAGAAAGGCCUUAGUCCAUUUCAUUUUUAAUUCAACACAAAACUCAUUUGGUUUGAUUCUAGUACUGAAAUAUCUCACUUAAAAUCUUUUCAUUAUUGUACUUUUUCCAAAUAUCCCCAAUUAAUAGUGAAAAUAAAUCUUUGAUGCACUAAAUGCACUAUUCCUUAACGAUUUACUAUUCACUACAUGUAUCUGAAUAUUACCGUAAUUUGUUGAAAUGUACAUGUAAUUAAGAGUGAUAGAAAAAAGUUCACUGCUCCCGCAGUAUCAAGUCUUUUCCAAAAGUACGAUACAAUUACUACAUUAUAGUAUUUCACUUGGGGUCUCAAUGUCAUUAACUAAUGACUCAUAUCAUAAAUGCCGAAACAAACAAAGGUAAAUAAAAGAGGGUCUAUCAACCAUACAAAUAUUAUUUGAAAUGCUCAUAAAAUUGCCCCUACAAAUCUUUUCAUUAUUUUUUUAGCAAAAAUCAUACAAUGAUACAAAUAUUUGGAAAAAGAUUUGAACAAGUUGCCUGUUCAAACAUUAUGACUAGACUGCAUGUGACUCCUCCCAAAACUUUAAUAGAGAUAUUUUACUACAUCAUGGUACAAUGCCUCUAAAAAAGACAAUAUAUUUUUCAUUAUUGAAUGAGAAAUGCUAGGGAGCGAGAGGGACGAGAGAAACAACAUUCUCUCCUGUCGUUUCUCCUCUCGUUCUCUCACUCAUUAAACAUUAAAAAAAUAAAAAAAAUGAAUAAAAAAAUGACGUGAAAUCCAGCUUUAGCAUGAAAUCCAGCUUUCACUUUCCUCUCUCUUUCACUUUUCCCAGCUUUGACUUUACUUUUUAAUUUCUUUCACUUUCCUCUCUCUUUCACUUUCACUUUCCUUAGUUCUCACGCAGGCUUUACUUUCAGGCUUCACUUUCACUUUCCUCUUCCUCAGCUUUCACUUUCCUCUCUCUCUCACGCAGGCUUCACUCUUCACUCUCCCCCUCUCUCGGCUCUUCCCUCUCCAGCCCGAGCAACUGUUCACGGCCUCCUCCCUCUCCCCCUCUCUCGGCUCUCUCGGCAAACAUUAAGUGAGCGGUGGCUUUUUUCAGCUUGUUCGUUUUGUUUUAAUUUUCUGUUAUGUGAAAGAUCCGGCACGUAUUGUUGAAUUUAAGCUUGUUUUUUUUUUGGUGUUGUUAGUGCGUCUCGUUGGAAUUUAAGCUUCAGGAAUUUAAGUAAUGUAAAUUUUGUUGCGGGUUAUGUUAUGAAUUUUGUUUUAUUUCAACUAUUUAUUUUAGAAAUUUUGGUGGGUCUCGUUGGAAUGUAAGCUUCUCGAAUUAAGCAAUGUAAAUUUUGUUGCGGGUUAUGUUAUGAAUUUUAUUUUAUUUGGUGUUUAUGUUGUGAAUUUUUUUGUGGGUUAUGUUAUAAAUUUUGUUUUAUUUCAAUACUAUUUGUUUUAGAAAUUUUGUAAAUUUAAUUUUUAUGAAACUGAAUAUAAAUGUUAAUUAUUUUGUAGGAAUGGAAAAUUUUGAAAAUGAGCGUGUAAUUGAAGAUGUGUCACUGGAAAAAUUUGAGCCAACUCUUGGCAUGUUUUUCGAUGGUUAUGAGGAAAUGUUUGAGUUUUACAAAGCGUACGGUAGACAAGAAGGGUUUCCCGUGAAGAAGCUAACAAGUACGAAAGGGAGCGACGGGACUGUAAAAUAUGCGACCUUUGCAUGUGGCCGUAGCGACAAAGCAGAUAGUAGAUCUAGUAAUAUGCUGAAGUUGAAGCCUGUUGUGAAAACUGGUUGUGAAGCUAAAAUCGGAGGUUGUGUAAAUGAAGAGGGAAAAUGGAUUCUUCGAACUUUAAACGUUCAGCAUAAUCAUGGAUUGAGUCCGGACAAAACAAGAUAUUUCCCUUGUAACCGUAGAAUUAGUGCAAGUGUAAAAAAGCGAAUUGAAAUGAAUGAUUCUGCGGGAAUUAAUAUUGCCCAAAAUUUUAAUUCUAUUGUUGUCGAAGCUGGUGGGCAUGAAAAUGUGUCAUUUUUAGAAAAAAGAUUGUAGAAAUUUUGUUGAUAAAACAAGACGAUUGUAGCUUGAAGAAGGAGAUGCUAUGGCAAUUUUAAAGUACUUCGAGACAAAACAAGCUGAAUGCGAUGGGUUUUCUUUUAGCAUUGAUUUGGAUGAGCAAGAUUGAUUGAAGAAUGUAUUUUGGGUAGAUUGGAGGAGUAGGGCAGCUUAUAAAUAUUUUGGAGACGUUGUAACAUUUGACACCACGUAUCUUACGAACAAGUAUGAUAUGCCGUUUGCCCCUUUUGUUGGAGUUAAUCAUCAUGGGCAGUUUAUUUUGUUAGGAUGCGGUUUGAUUUCUCACGAGGAUGCGGAGACAUUUACAUGGCUAUUUGAGGCAUGGCUAUCAUGCAUGUCCGAUUCUCCUCUCAUUGGUAUUAUUACUAACCAAGAUAAAGCAAUGCAAAAGGCAAUUGAGCAUGUUUUUCCUACGACUAGGCAUCGAUGGUGUUUGUGACAUAUAAUGAAGAAGGUGCCUGAGAAGUUAGGGGCUUUUAAAGAACGUGAAGGUAUUAUUUCUUUGUUACUUUUUGUUGUUUAUGAUUCGUUGAGCCAUGCUGCAUUUUAGGAAGAUUGGAAUGACAUGAUUACAACAUAUGAUUUAUGGGAUAAUGCUUGGUUAAAUGGUUUAUAUGAUAAGAGGUAUCGUUGGGCUCCAUGCUAUUUAAAAGAUAGUUUUUGGGCAGGAAUGUCAACAACGCGGCGAAGUGAAAGUAUGAAUUCAUUUUUUGAUGGGUUUGUUAACUCAAAAACAAAUUUAAAGCAGUUUGUGAAGCAAUAUGAAAAUGCAUUGCGAAGGAAAGCUGAAUUGGAAUGGCAAGCAGAUGCCAAGUGUUUCAGUAAAAACUAGGGGUGGGCAUCAGAUCGAAUUCGGGUCAAUCCAAUCCGAUCCGAACUGAUCCGAAUAUGUUCGGAUCGGAUUCGGAUUGACCUCUAAAUCCAAUCAGAUAGAAACUUUGCAAUCCGAUCGGAUUUGAUUCGGAUCGGAUCGGAUUCGAAUCAAUCCGAUCAAUCCGAUCGGAUUGCACUUAAAAAAAAAACUUAAAUAUAAAUAAAUUAAAAGCUUAAAAGACAAACCUCUUCUACCCUAAAUUCCCAAAUCAUAAACGAAUUGAACCUAGCCAGCCACAAAGGCACGGAUUCAGCCAACCCAGCCAUCAAGCUUCGCGCCUGCCGGCUAGCCACAUGUCGAUGACGCCCCCUUCCAUGCGCCGAUGACGUCCCAGGCAACAACAACCAAUCGAAGAUGACAACAAGUACUGCUUGUUGUCUGCUACUGUCAUCUUUAGUUCUUGCUAUCUGCUGUCAUCUUCUCGCUUGAUGCUUGCUGUCUGCUGAUCUUUAGUUCUUCUUCUUCUGUUAUUUUUCCUCUUUCUUAAUCUUAACGGUUGGUGCUGGGUGUUUGCUUUUGUUUGUUUAACUAGUUUUUCUGCUCCUUUACAUAUACAUAUAAUUCGAAUUUAAUCCCAUGAUGACAGCAAGUACUGCUUGUUGUCUGCUGCUGUCAUCUUCAGUUCUUGCUAUCUGCUGUCAUCUUCCCGCUUGCUGCCUGUUGUCUGUUGAUCUUUGAUUCUUCUUCUUCUGCGUUCCCCCCCUUUAAUCUUAACAGUUGGUGCUGGGUGUUGCUUUUGUUUGUAUAACUAGUUUUCUUUUUUCCUUUACAUAUUCAUAUAAUCUGAAUUUAAUCUAAAGCUAUUAAUCCAAUCCGAAUCCGAAUUAAUCCGAAAUAAUCAUCCGUUCUGAAUCCGAUCCGAACUUAUUCGGAUCAGAUGAUUAUUUCGGAUUAAUUUGAAUGGUUUUUAUCCCAACUCGAACAAUCCAAAAUCCGAUCGAAUUGAUCCGAAUCCAAUCCGAAUCCAUUUUUUCCCACCCCUAGUAAAAACACUCUGUGUGUAACAAGAUAUGAGAUGGAGAAACAAGUUGAGAAGAUGUACACAAUUGCUAAGUUCAAAGAGUUCCAGCAAGAAUUAACUGCACUGAUGUAUUGUGAUAUAGUGGAUUCUGUUGGGUCAAUAUAUGAAAUCAGUGAAUCACUUGGACAAGAAAAGAAAAAAAACUUUGAAGUUGUGUUUGAUGAAACUGAAUGUGAAGUUAGUUGUAUCUGCUCAAAGUUUCAGUUUAGGGGAAUUCUUUGUAGACAUGCCCUUUCAGUGCUGAUACGGCAUGGUAUUGAAAUACUUCCAGAGAUGUACAUUUUAUCAAGGUGGAGGAAAGAUGUGAAGAGAUGUUAUAGUAAGGUGAAGGUUAGUUCUGGUAUGCAGAAUUUAUCCAUUCAGCAAGAGAGAUAUGACAAAAUGUGUACUGAUUUCACUGAGGUUGCAAACAUAGCUGCUGAUGAUGAGAGUAGUUAUAAAUUUGUGUUGGAUUGGAUUAAUAAAACAAUGAAGGAUCUGUCCAAGCAAAUUCGGUGUACAAGUGUGGAAACAACUGCUAUUGGUGAAAUAAGUUGUAGCAUGCAACAACAUCGAGCAUGUAAUUAAUGAUCCAGUAGCGGCACGUCGUAAAGGGCGUCCUCAUUGUUUGAGGAAACAAUCUUCACUCCGAAAAAAACCUGCCCAAAAGAACAAGACAUCCAAAAAAAAAAAAAGGUUUGUUUGAAUGCAUAUAUAUGUUUUUUAAUUUCAUUUUAUCUUUUAUCUUAAUUUUUUCUUAAUCAUAUUGUAUAUUAUAAUUUGACAGGAUUUGCAAGAAAAUGCUUCAGCAUCUUUUGAAAUGGCUAAUGAAGUCUCCACACAGCAGAGCAACAUACAGUAGAGCAACAUGGCAAUAGUAUAUUAUUUUGAGUUUUUAUUAUUAAUGUUAGUUUAACUAUUUUUAACAUAUGUAACUAAGUAUGUUGUUGAGUAUAUGUAGACGUUUCACGAAGGAAGCAAUGUAAAUGCAAAUCUCAAUCAGCAUGGGAGUUUAGGCUAUUAUAAUGUAAGAAGCAAAUUCACAAGUAAAUUUUAAUAUGAAUUUAACUUUUUUUUUAGGUACCUGUAUACCCAUUUCAAGUUGGUGGAAAUAAUAUUUACCAGCCAAUUCCUUAUAGCUGGCACACGGUAAGUAUACUUAUAUUUAUAAAUUUCUUAAUGCAUACUUAUAUUUUACGUUGUCAAAUUUUUACAAUGUAUAAUGAUAUUUUAAUUUCUUGUGUAUUAUAGCAAACCAGUCCCACCGUAUGCUUUGCAGUCACAUUAUUCUUCUCCUUCGAUGACGUAUGAAGGAUCUGCAAGUGGGAAUUUUCAACAAUUGUUACAUCAACAAUGUAAUGAAGACAACAAUCGCCGCAAUUGAUGUUUGAUUUAAAUUUGUUUCGAUUAUUUUCAUUAUUAUUUCAGUUAGAUUUGGCUUGAGACGACAAAUUUAUGUUUGACCUUGUGGGUUUUUGCUGUAUUUUUCAGUUUCUGUUUGGUUGACGGUUUCUUGUGUUAUUGUGUUGGUUGACAGUUUCUUGUGUUAUUGUGUUGGCAUUUGCAUGGAAUGAUGGAACUGUCUGAAUUGGGAUUUAAGUUAGAAAAAGUGGCAAAUUAAAAAAUCAUUUCAAAUGUUCGAUUAUUGUGUUGUUUUUGUUUGUUGGCAUUUGCAUUUUUUUUUCAUUUUCCAAUAUAUAUGUUUUAUUAUUGGGUCUGUUAGCAAUUGUUGUAUUUUUUUAGAUAUGAAUUAUAAUUACAAUAGUAAAUUCAGUUCAUAGUACAAAUUAAAAGAACUUUAAAAAAAUUCUUGAAUAUAAAACAUAGUAAAAUAAUUACAAGUAUUCUAAUCAAAUCAUAACAUGGUGUUUGUCUUCUUCGAAGUUCAUCAUUAAACAAUCCCCUCUGCGCUUCACAUAAUUGAAACUUUACAGACAAGCAUUCAAUCUCCAAUGCCAACUUUUUAACUUCGUCCACUAACAAAUCAAUUUUCUCUUCACUCCAUUUACGGUCUUCUGCCCAUUCAAAUUUCUUACAUCCUCUACAUUUCCAAAAUUUACGAUUUGGAUUCUUUGUAGUACGUGACGUGAACAACUCCAUUUGUUCACCGCAUUCGUUACAUAUUUGCAAUGAAUUUCGAGUUUCAUUUGUACUAGAUGACAUCGUCAUUCAUAAACUACUUAAACUGCCAAAAUAUAAAAAACAGCAGGUAUACAAUCCUGGAAGUUAAAAACAGAGCAAAGCAAAAAUUACGGCAACCAUGCAAUUAAUCGAUUGUUAAAAACAGAGCAAAAAUUACACCAAGCAUGCAAUUAAUCCAUUAUAAAUUGCCGUCAUAUCCAAAGAUAUCUGAUUCCACAUAUUCUUUUACCAAACAAUUACAUUUUUCCACUUCAUAUGACAAGAACAAACAAACCAUUAUAUCCCAAUUGACAGGAACCAGAAAUUUCAAACAAAUGUUCAAUAAACCAUCAUGCCCGCAAAGAUGACUUCCUUCUGAAAAAAAAAUAUAUAUAUGGGUACAAGUUUCAAUUUCAAGCACUUCCAUCAGAUAAAGAACAAGCAAAGAAAAAUGUAAAACCAGUUAGACGGCUGAAGUAAAAAAAAAUGAAACAAUAGCGACAAGCAGUGAGAGCAAAGACAAUUUUACAAUUUUAAUAUGAAGAUACCAUGAGGGAUCUGGAAGCGUGAGGCACGCCGGAAGCCGUGAGGGAGCUUCUGGAAGCGUGAGGGAGAGAGAAGCUGGUGAGGCACGCCGGAAGCCGUGAGGGAUCUGGAAGCGUGAGGCACGCCGGAAACCGUGAGGGAGCUUCUGGAAGCGUGAGGGAGAGAGAAGCUGGUGAGGCACGCCAGAAGCCGUGAGGGAUCUGGAAGCGUGAGGGAUCUGGAAGCGUGAAGCCGUGAGGGAUCUGGAAGUGUGAGGCACGCCGGAAGCCUUGAGGGAGCUUCUGGAAGCGUGAGGGAGAGAGAAGCUGGUGAGGCACGCCAGAAGCCGUGAGGGAUCUGGAAGCGUGAGGGAUCUGGAAGCGUGAAGCCGUGAAGCUGGUGAGGCACGCCGGAAGCCAUGAGGGAGAGAGGAAAGUGAGGGAGAGAGGAAGAGUGAGGGCUGGAGAGAAAAUGCUAAGAUUUCCCUCUGCACGAAGCGAUAAAAGCAGUCUUUCUUUAUUAUUUUUUAUUCAUUUUUUUAUUAUUUUAAUGUUUUAUGUAGCGAGAGGAACGAGAAGCGAAACGGCAGGAGAGAAUGCCGUUUCUCUCGUCAUUCUCUCGUUCCUCUCGCUACCUGGCAGCACUCUUAUUGAAUUAUGCUGUUGUCAUGCAAGGUAACUUUCCGUUACACAUAUAGAACUACUGAUGCUCUAUGAAGGACAUGUACAUUGCAAUAAACUUCCUUUGUCCCUACAAGUCAUUAAGCUGGCUGUUGGAGAAAAAUUAAUGCGCGAUAAAUGUUUUGUUACAUCAUAAUAAUCUUGGUGUCUAAAUAAAUACCCAUUCAUGCAAACGCUGUGUUGCAACAACCUUGGUUCUGUUCUUCUCCUUCUUUAUGCUCUUUUCUUCUCUCCUCUGCUUCUUGCAGUUACCUAAUUAACACACACACACACACACGUAUAUAAAUAUAGAUAUAGAUAUAUCGAUGCAUAAUUUUAUUUAUAGAGCAAAAAAGGAAUAUUAUGAGUGACAAUUUGCCAUGUUCAAGUCCUUUGAGGAAGUGGAUGCUUUGGUGGAAUUUGAGGAACAAGGCCAGCACGAAACGCGAUGAAGAUCCCAUUUUGCCAAUAUGUUGGCUUUAAAGGCAACUCUAAUUUAAGGUGCUUGUAAUUUUUCCCACAUAUAUGCAGCUGUAUACCACAGUGGCGAGUGGAUCAAUCGCUACUAGGCGAAGCCCACGCCAUAGGGGAGGCCUUGCAAAACAAGAUUGAGAAACCCGCAGAAGUUGAACGAGCAUUCGUUCAUAUAUAUUGACUUCGAAUGUGAGCACAAGCCAGAGCAGAACGUUGGCGACAAGCUACCCAGCAGUCGGCCAUGUUUGUUUAAACUCUUAUUAUUUCUAAAUCACCCAUGUAACUGUUGCUUGGGCAAAAGCCCAAAGAAAGCUACUCGAAACCAUUCGGUCAAGUCUGGAGAGAUUAUAGCCACUAUUACUUAAUAAUUUAAGCAGUUGAGUCAAGUGACUUUUUGAUAUUUAUGAACAUGGUGUUAGAGCCUGCGUCCAACUUCUGAAUCCUGGUUCAUAACCAUCCUCUAAAUCAAGUAUAUUAAUCUCACUACAAGACGAACAUUAAUUAUCUUCGAACAAUUGUUAUCCAAAAAAUGAUGUAAUCCAUGUUUAAUACAUCAAUUACAUGCUAAGAUAAAGACCCUUUUCAAAAAGAAAGGAGAAAGGAUGGCCAGCACGCAAACUUAAUGCAAAUGUGCUAGGUUUCUUGUUGUUUUGGUUGCUAGACAUCAAGUUACUUCUUGCAGAAGCGUAAUGGUUUUUAUAUUUGAUCAUAUGGAAAUAUGUUGAAGUUGAAAUCUUUAAAAGACAAGCAAUAAAACAGAGACAUAGAAUAAAAUGUUCUACUUCAUUUCAUUGUUUAUACACAGUUCAAUUCUUGCUGGCCAAGAUGUUUCAACCACACGGCUGCAUUUUUAUCUGCAUUGUACUGUUGAUCUUAUCCUCACUGCUCAUUGGCAUUAUCGGUACUUUGCUGAGACACUUGCCACGUCUGCCAUAUCAGGUUACAUGGCCCUUGACUAAUCAGGUGCUUGUUAGGAGUUGCUUCACUGUGAUAAUUCAUCAAACACUUAGUUCACUUCAUCAAACACCUUUAUCAGAUAAUUUUCAAGACUUGUUUGAUAUCCCUUAUCUGGAAAAGUAAUUUGUAUUCCGGUGCUAUAUUCCAAAUUUAAAAAAUAUCCUGCCACACAAUUUCUAAUCAUCUAAUCGAACUUUUUAUUAAUAAAAUACCUUUAAGAAAAAGUACUAGUAUAGACAAAAUAAUAACACCAUAUUAAAAAGAUUUUUACUAAAUUGUAAAAACAUCCAAACCUAUACACUCUUUUCUUCGAAGACCAAGUUUUAUCAGAUUCAUUACAUGAACGCAGCAGCAGAAAACAUAGCCCUCAAUAUUGUAUGUAAAGCAGCUACCUUAACCUUAAACAAUAUUGAUUGCAUGCUAAGGGCCAAGCCUGUUUUACACAAGGUAGCAAAAUGCUCACAGUUGCAUCCAAGUAGAUUGUAGCCAGAGCAAAACUCUUUCCUUUGUAGUUCGCUAGUGGCAAAUUCGAUAACUUCCUCCAGUAACUUCAUAGAACCACCACGACAUGCUGACGUACAGUGUAACACUCGUAAUCAUAGACAUACAUUGAGUGGCCAUCCAAGAAGCAGUCGAGACACGUUUUGAUGGUCCCCCGCCCUUAAACCCUUUCUCGUUGUUUUGGCAAGAGCAGGGCAUACAUUUGUUGCAGAUGGGCUAGAUUUCGUUUUCAUUGCUGAAUAUGCACUUUGUUUCCUGGGUCCAUUGACAUGGAUGACCGAGUCAUCUCCUUCAUAUAUCCCUCUACACAAAAUAAGGAAAUCCCAGAUUCAGCACUGCACAUACACAGGAAAAGUUACAAUACAUACAGACAUUAGACUUCUCAAUGAAUACUAAAAGUAAGCUGACCAUAAUGAUAGAAGACACCUUUCCACCUUCAGUGCAAAUGUGAUCACCAGGUUUGAGCAUCUCCCUACUAAUGGACCUCCAUGUUUGGUCUCCCAUUUUUGUCUUUUUCAAACCAUCUAUCGAACGGGGACAGUACAAAUCAUACAAAUGCUUUGAAAUGUCAAGGGACUUACCAUUUAAUCUUCUGAAUGGGAAUCUUAAAAUCUCAUAUUUACUACGCAUACAUAGAAUUCCAAAAAUUUGUAUUUGUAAAUUAUUUGAGUACACGAACGAUGAUUCCCCAAUUCUUUACAUUCUAAUUGGAGAUUAGCAGCGAGUUCUAUGUUGCUGAUAAGUGAUUUUGGUGUUUUCGAUGUUUAAUUUAAUUAUCUUUUUUAACAAAAUUUGCAAUGAAACGCUCAUGACAAUUCACACACCCCACCUGCCAAAAUAUAGUGAAGCAGAACUCAAGACACAGUGACUUUGAUUUAAAAGCACAGUUACAAUAGUCACUAGCACUCUCGUAAGAACAAGGCAAUUCACAAAAUGCUGUUGGGAGAACAAAGGAAUGUGAAGCAACAAUGAACUAGAGUUAACUAAUAACCAAAAUAUUCGCUGGCUCAACUGUUAGCCUAAUGACUGUUUAGGAUAGUUUGAUAGAGCAGCGUACAACAUCAAACUCUUCUUAAACAGAGAACUUCAGUAAUAUACCAGCUACAUUUUCUAGAAAUUUAGGUCUCAAUGAUGAAAAAUUAACUCAACAUCCCCUGCUUAGUAACCAUAGUUCGAGCCAUAGACAGAGCCGUAGCCUCCAGCAUGGCCUGCAUGUCCUGGAUUAGAAGGGGGUGAUCCAUACAUUGAUGCAUAUGGGUUAUAACCUUGGUCUGCAGACGCACCCAUUUGUGCCUGUGAUGGAGCUGCAGCUUCAGCCAUGAAAUUCUGCCAUAAGAUAAAAAGAGUACUAUCAGCUUAAAAUCCAAAAAGCGUGAGCACAAGAACGCUAUAAAGGCUACAUGAAAAACAGCAGUCAUAAUAUUCACACUGAAAAGAAGAUAAUAUCUCUAUAUUGUUCAUUUUGAUACAUCUUCAUAUCAGACCAUAACGAAAUGUCGUGAGAGUGUGGGAAAACACGCUGAAUGUGUGUCCAUUAAGAAAUAUAAAUUUCACUCAGCCAACAACUAAAGGAAGAAAAACAAAGGAUUACAAUAAGUGCUAAAUUGUGCUUCAGUCCUAAGGAUCAAAUGUCAUCAAACUGUCAGCCUCUGAUAGGUUAAAAAUAGACUGCAGCAAUCCCAAAGGAAAACUAAAGAGCAGCUACCAGGCCGAACCAGAUCUAAAGCACUCCCAAAACCUCUUGCAACACUUUUUAAGAGGUUGUACCAGUUAAACCAACUAGCACUCACAACGGGUAAUUCCUAUUUCUAGUAUACGGAACUGUUACGUGUAAUAGGUGUCCAAUUACACUCCCAUCAACAUACAACUCAAAGAAUGUAAAUAUUCCCAUACAUUGAGCAUUAACUUUUCCAAAUCCUAUUUCCAGACGUAGCAGAAUUAGAACAUAUAGCUGGGUAAAAGACUUCUCGAGGAUAAUGAAAAUUAGAUUUAAGAAGGAUAUGUAGUGGACGCACUACAAACUGAAAAUUCACACGCAAUAUGAUACACAGGAAAAACAAAAUAAGCCACUAACAGACAUAAAAAGCAGAAUAUCCAGUUCAGAGUCUUUUUUGGAAAAUAAUUUAACAGAGAAACAGAUAUAGUAAAAUCAGUUCAAAUUCAAGACAAGGAACAUUGCCUGAAUUAGCUGCUGAGCAGUCUGGACUUGAGAAGCAGUUCCACUAAUUUCAACUGUCAUCUCCCCUGGAACGCCUCUGGUCUCUUGUAUUGUCACAGUUGCUCCACUUGAACGUCGAAUGUAGCUUAUACUUGCACCAGCUGUCCCAAUAACAGCAUCAGCAUAAGAAAGUGGAAUUUGCAUUUGCUGAGUGACCUGAAUAAUCACAUGAAAACCACCAUUCAGAUGUCUGGAAAAAUUAAAAGAAAAAGUUUAUUGGGUUGGCCCAAGAUUAUGAUUAUAUAAACCGCAAAUGCAGCCAAAGAUAAGUUUCAUCUAGGCUGCAGUCAACUGGCAGCAUAGUAUUUAAAUUAUAAUGCAUAAUGCAUUGAAGAAUUACAAAUAAACUGCAAAUGCAGCCAACGAUAAGUUUUAUCUAGGCUGCAGUGAACUUGCAGCGUAGUGUUUACAUUAUAAUGCAUAAUGCAUUGAAGAAUUACAACCAAAUGCAUUUUUGAUUAACAGAACCCUGAAAGAGAAUAUACUAAAACAAAUAAAAUAAAAUAAAAUAAAGUAAGCAGUAUACAGCAGAUCACAUCCUAUAAUUUCAAUGUAAAAAUCCAGCGAUAAUUAGCAUGACAUAUUCAUACCCAGGCGGUAAUAACAAGCCAAGGCACCACAUUUUGGAAAUCAAAGGGGCCCUCGGUUCAACUAUCGAUCACCUCUUCGAUUCAUAAGCUUAUAUGUUCUCAUUUGUUCUUAGGCUUGCCUGCUAUAUUUGGUUUGCAGGGACUCAUUUAUAAAAUUGGGGAAAGAGUGCUAUUCUCUUAACUAAAGAAGGAAUCAAUAUUCUCCUUCAAAAAGAUAAGACAGAGAGAUUGCACAGAAUUAUUAUUCAGUGUUUAUACUAAAUAAAAAGAAAUAUAACCUGUGUUAUCAUGGAUGGUGUCGACUGGGCAUUUGAGGAUCCAUGGACAUUCACGGGGGCUUCUCUUCCAUAGGCAGAUAUUCCCUGAUGAGGCUGUUUCUCCAUAGGAGGUGGCAAGUCAGCAGGAGGAUAGUAACUCUCGGCUUGCCGUGGAGGUGGCAUGUACUGAGGAUUAUGUCCAUAACCCGGGCCUCCACUAGGGGGAAGACCCUGAGGUGGACCCCAUGACUGAGGAGGUGGAAUGUGAUCCAUUUGAGGAUUCGGCAUUUGCAUCUGGUUGGAAAAAAUAGCAAUUUAGAAUUUCACUAUGUUAUAUGAUAAAGUUGGUCUUGUUAGUUACUUCGGAGCAAUUGUCACGGUAUUACACUUACAUGCAUUUCAAAUAAUGGUAUUAUACUGCGGUCAACCAAAAACUUCCUAAGAUGAGAUCCAAUUAGCUCCAUAGCUUUGUGAACACCAGAUGCAUCUCCUACCACUUCAACAACCCUAUCAUCUUGAAGGGCAAAGACUGGGAGGUCUUCUGCAGCAAUUCAUUUUAACAAGUCUUAAAAUAUACACAGCAUACCAUCAGGAAUACAUAAAGCACAUAGACGUAUUAAUGAAUAAUUAUAAGAACUUUAUCAUAUGAGGUUCUCAAGGAAUGUCUUUGAGAUAGCAAGCGAUAGUCGAUGAGAACUACAAAAUCCUAGGAUAAGGUGGUGGAUUAAUCAAAACCUUAAAUUUGGAUGUAAUAGCAGUAGACAAUUGAUUAGAUGUUAACAAUGAUUUAAUGGGCUCCAAAAGGCAAAAGAACGGCAACCACAUCUAAAAAACAUGUAUCUGAUAAUCAAACAUAGAACCUUCUGGAACAUCACAGCAAUAAGCUUAUUCUGCUCAAUUUUAGGAGAGAUUUUCCCACCAGAUUGAUGAAAUAAGAUGAACAUAAUGAGAGAAGAUGACAAAAUAGAACCAACAGUAACUUCUAGUCAGAAGUAAGAAUGAGGUUGAAGAAUACCUGCUCCAAGGACUCUAACUAUGCAAUUAGAUGCUUCUUGGAUAGAUUUGACUGUUCCUCCUUGUUUACCAAUUAAACUUCCAGCUUGUGAAGCUGGGACUAACAGCUUUGUUGAGACCUUGCCUCCAGUUCCAGAAGGAGCAUGAGACGAAUCACUGUCCAAACCGUCAACAAUGCGUUUGUGCACCCUCAAAAGGCCAUCCAUAGCAGGAGGAAGAGAAGACUCAGGUUCCUCCUUGGCUGAUAUCAUCACCUAUUCAUAACCGGAAAACAGUAACAUCAGCAUAAACAUUAAAGCACGAAUUUCGUGUCUUAAUUCCUAGAACUUUAAAUAAAACAAGAACCCACCAAAACAAAUAAAUAACUAAAGAAACGUCGGGUAAUCAAACUCUUUGCUUACAGAAACAAAAAAUAAACACUUAAAAGAAAAUUACAAAUCACCUAAGACUCCACUUUCUUGUCUGUGUAACAAAUAUAACAAUUUGUUUGCCAAGAAAUCAUGCAGCAGUAAAUUAACUCCUCACCAGCUUAUUGUUGUAACAAUGAUCCAAUGGAAUUCCUAAUCUAUUGAAUUUUAUGUGUUACAUCCCCUAUAAUUUCAAAAAUUGCUGGUAGCUAGGUUUUACCAACUCAUGACAUCUUCUUGCCAUCACAGUCACUAAACAAAAUAUAAAUUUGUUGCCACAUUGUGAAUAAUUAUUUUUUUUCAUUUUUUCCUUAACCUGAUAUACUUUAUCAACACAUUAAGCCUAAGUUCAUAGGUUUUCUUUUCCUUUUCUUUUUUAAAUGAGCUGAUAAAUAAAGAUUUGAGAUUCUACUCAGUUAAAAAACACAAAUGACAAGUACAAAAGUUACUGUAUGUCUUUCAAUAUAACUGCUUAAUUGAGUUAGAUGAUUUUAGGGGUUCAUAAUUUAAACACAAGUAGGCCUUCUUCAAAAGAAAUUUUAAGAUUAACAGUGAUCUUAUGUGCUCUUUUAAAGCUUAUUUUUAAUAGGUUCUCUUGUGAUUUUUACAAUCUGCGGCAAGACAUCAAUCAUCCAGGUUCUGAAGUUACCAGAGACAGCGGAGAGCUUCUUGGUACGGUUGUAGAUUUUUAUUCAACUCAGCUUUUCAGCACUUUGUAAUGCUCAAUGCUGAUCCCUGCAAUCUGGAUCUUUGGUCCUUCAAGUUUGGAAUCUUAUUUUGAUUUGUUGCCUCAAAAAGAGGCGAAUAGAACCUGCACAGACUAAUGUUUGUUAUUGCAGUAAAGGGAAUUUUAUUUUUCUUUUACGGAUUGCUAGUUACUACAGAAGACACUCCCUUCUUGUCCUCUUUAUUAGUUAUAUUUUGUUUCAAGAGUAAUUGUCUGAUAAGGUUCUGUCUCAAGAAGUAACAUUUUCCAUUUUUCCUUAUUUCAAGAGAAAUUGCAAAAUGUUACAUAACAAUGCGAUUAAUCUGCUGCAUAACAUCCUCCUCCAUAACAGGACAUUAACAAAUUAACCAAGCUACCAGUUAAUGUAUAAAUCAUUCUAAAACUUUAGACAGAAUGGAAGUUGUAGCUCACCUAACAACCAAACAUCUGCUUGAUUGCAUGAAAGUCUUCCAAUCACAUCCAACUGAUUAGAGGUACAUUUUUUCCUCUCUUCAUGAACUUCUCCAUGAAGGAUUACCUAAUUUUCCUUUUGUUUUGUUCUUUAACUUGGAUUAGAAAUGAAUUUCUGAAACCUUUUAGCUUUGACAAGGAGACAACCAUUCAGUAGUUUUACUUUUAUGUCUUUCCCAUAUUUCAAAUAAUGAUAAACAUUUCAAACUAAAUCUACUGCAUAUAGGGAGUUUUCUCAAUUAUGAGAGACCAUAAAACUUUCAACAAUUUCCUUUCGCAUUUCUCACGUAUGUUCAUUCAAGCCAUUUCUACAUCAAUCUAGCACUAAACGACUGAAAUUUUUUGAGCGUAAUAUGUUAUUUUCACAUUAAAGGUCAAACCAACAAACAACCUAACAUGUCUUUUAAAAAAUUCAAAAGACAAAUAUACAUACACAAUUAAAAUCCAUAUGUUUAAGAGUGAUGUUGAAUUUUUUUUUUUUAAAAAAAACUCCAAUUGUGACCAGUAGGAAAACCAAAAAAGUAGUAGGAGCUAGCUCAUAGAAAGAGGGUAUCAGCCAACAAAAAAUUAGAGUAAGCAGGUCUAGCUUACUCGCAUAUCAGCUAUUUCUACAUAAACUGCAUGAAGGAAAUUAAUUAUGAAAACUUACAGCUCUUUCUGUCGUCCCUGGAGGACCGUCAAGUAUCUUAAUUCGAGCUCUUGUCUCCUCAACUAUUUUCUUGAUGAAUUCUCCUUUGCGGCCAAUUAUACUACCAACUUUUUGUGCAGGAACCAACAUCCGAAACACACUCUCUCCAGGCCAUCCAGGCCACUUUUUUUCAGUGCUUCCAACUGCCAAAUUCACCUCAUUUUCUUGUUUUUCUUGAAGCUGUGAGUCCUCAGGUACUAUAUCCUCUGGUACUUGAUCCUCAGGUACAUGAUCCUCAGGGACUUGAUCCUCAGGUACAUGAUCCUCAGGGACUUGAUCCUCAGUUAGUUGAUCCUCAGUUACUUGUUCCUUGGUUACUUGACUCUCAGGUACUUGCUCCUGGGGAACUUGCUCCUGAGGUACUUCAGGUACUUCAUAUUCAGGCACUUCAUACCCAGGAACUUGAUUUUCAACUUCUUGAUUCUCAGGUAUUUGCUCCAAGUCAUGGUUCCCGUCAUGUUCAACAAAUCCCUGAUCAGCUUCAGCCAUAAUUUCCCCACUGUAACAAAACAUAGAUUCAAAAAUUAUUUCAAAAAGAAAAUGCAUUAACAAUUAGUAUAUUUGAACUCCGGCCAUCAAAUAUUCUUAGUCAAGGGAAGCAACAAUACAUAUGCCCAACAAACAGAACUCAGGAUUCCAACUGGACAAUAUUCACUUCUCCUAACCUUCACUAACUUAAGAAAAUAAACUACGCAUAGCAUCGCAGAAAAAUAGAAUCUACAGACAAUUCAAAAAGUAAUAAUCCCAAAAAAAAUUAACAGAAAAGAAAACAACAGAGCACCGCACUAACCUGGAAUUAACAUGUUUGAGCUGGAGUACCUUAGGGUUUGAAAUAGUAACACAAUAAACCAGCACAUAAGCAUAUAAACCCUAAAACUACAAAGACAUUAUGACUAUAAAAUAAUUUAAAAAAUCACAAAAUAGCAAGAACCCAUUAAUGGGUCAAACAUAAAAACACCCAAAUCACUUAAAAAGAUAUUCAAUUUAAAACUACACACAAUAAUUACCGGACCCACAU
This 83882-nucleotide long non-coding RNA is filed under the name Citrus sinensis (sweet orange). RNAcentral describes it as "long non-coding RNA (CSIN_LNC003562)". The record is from RNAcentral. Lineage: Eukaryota; Viridiplantae; Streptophyta; Magnoliopsida; Sapindales; Rutaceae.